GAGGAUGGAAGGCACGAGCGGCUCGAGGACCUCCGGCUCCGAGAGACGGCAGAGGAACCGCAGGGUGACGCCGCGGAUGUACUCGUUGGGGUGCUGCAGGUUGUUGCGGAGGUUCUGGCAGAUGAGGAUCAUCUCCGGGAGGGCGCGGCCGGUCGAGUCGCGCUUGUCAAUGAUCUCAAGGUAGAGGAGGAGCAGCUUCUGGAUGGUGUGAUCCUCGGAAGGGAGGACGUACCGGACGAUGGUGAUGAAGAGCUGCGGCAGGGACUCGCCAUUGAGGAGGAGCAUGACGGCGCGCUUCAUGGCCUCGACCUUGGCUGCGACGUCGCUGCCCUCCAGAUUCGCCUUGAUCUCGUUCGCCAUGGCGGCGGAUCCCUUGUCGAAGUGGACCAGCAGCGUGCACGGCUUGUCCAUGGCGCCGGACAUGCCGUGCACCCUUGCCGGAUUGCGCCGGCGACAGGGGUGGCGGUGGUUGGAUCUGGGGCGGAGGCGGAUCGGGAUCUGAGAGCGGGAGGAGGGGGGUGGUGGUUAAUGGGUUGAAGAGGCGAGAGCCCACCCCAUCUUGGACUUGACUAUUCCUUCAUUUCUAAGGUUUUUGGUAUUUAUCAUCCGGAGCACGGGGUAUGCGGGCAUUAGGGCUUUGAAUGGGUCUGGACUCUGCGGUGUGUUGUAUGAGGUGCUGGGCUUGGCCCAUUUAAAUCAUAAAUGGGCUUCGCCAGUUGUUCUCACAUUUGGCAUCUGAGGUCCUGGGCUUGGCCCAUUUAAAUUAAAAAAAACACCACAUUAGAAAUUAGGAUUUCAUAUAGGUACCAAUUUACUCCCUCUGAUUCUAGAUUCUUGACUCAAAUUUGUCAAAAUAUGGAUGUAUCAAUUCUUAAAAAGCGUCUAAAUACAUGUAAUAUUUUGACAACAAUUUAGAAUCGGAGAAAAAAUCACCAGAUUUAUUUAACCCCUCGCUUGCUCGCGUCUAAGCAUAUUUCGGAAUGGCCCAUUUUCGGGCUAGCGUGUCUUACCAGGGUAGCCUGCCAGCGUGUUCUCCUUCUCUUCUCCCCACCGAGCCAGCCAUCUCCAGCGAGGACGCCGAGCUCGAGCCGCCUCCUCCCGCGCCGCGAUUUCUUUCCCAAGUCCGGCAGCACGUUGCCGCAGCCCGUGCCUCCUCCGCCACGCCGACGGGCGCGCCACAGCGAGCAGAGCGAGCGGCCGCGCGCGGAGCGGGCAGAGCAAGCGCAGGGUGUGCGGCCGCGAGAGGCGCGAGUGGAGCGAGCGCGGCCCGAGCGAGCGUCGGGCGCGUGGGAGCACCACUCCGCCACCCCGACGGGCGUGCGACAGCGAGCAGAGCGAGCGCUGGGCCAGCGGCGGCGCGCGGAGCGGGCAAAGCGAGCACAGGGGGCACGGCCGCGAGGGACGCGGCCCGAACGGGCGUCGGGCGCGCGGGAGCACCGCUCUGCCACCCUGACGGGCGUGCGACAGCGAACAGAGCAACCGACGGCGCGGGCGAGCAGCCGUGAGCGACAGCGCGGGCGACGGGCGUGCGAAAGCGAGCAGAGCGAGUGCCAGGCAAGCGGCGCGGGCGCAGGGCGCGCGGCGCGACCCGCGCGAGCGGGGCGAGCGGCGGCGCGGGCGACAUGACAGAGCGAGCGCGACGGCAAGCGGCGCAAGCAGCAGAGCGAGAGUAGCGGCUCUACAGGGCCGCGAGAAGCUUCCGUGGUUGAAGAAAGAGAGUAUCGAGAGAUGUUUGGGGAGAGAGAGCAGAAAAAGUCAGAAACCAUCUGUUCAGCCACGCUGACACGCCACGUUGUCAUGAGCGAGUGUACCCGUUUAGUCAGAAAUCUGUUUAAAUGCUAGCGAGUGAUGGAUUAAAUAAACCCUAUCAAUAAUACGGUGGUUUCCUGUAAUUUAUUCUGCUUCUUUCCUAAUUUCCUAAAAAACGUUUAGAAUGUUGACGAAGACGGAUCCAACUCACGAUUCCAGUCGGAACUUCAGAAUUCCGAUUCACACGUCCCUGACAUGAUGCGGUAAAAAAAGUGCGACUUCUGUAGAAUUGGACGAUAACAAUAAAAACAUGACUGGCUACAAAAGAAUAUACGGAGUACAAAGAUCAUAUUACACGCUGGCAGCCAUUGUUGAAAUGUGAAAGCCCCAUAAACAACAACAAAAGAUUGCUACUAAGUAAUACACCUUGUGUUAUGUAUUUGGCGGUCUUGAAGAGCCUACCCAAAUACCUCUACAUCCUCUUGUUAUUUUUGGGGAGUGUACAUCAGUUAGGUCGCCUUAUUAUCAGUUGACAUGGUCACAAAACGACCUUCCAACUGUCACGUCAAAUCAAAACCAGAUUUUUUUUUUCCAGAAAGAAAAAGAUAUAUCGCAUUAGAGCACUAGUACGAGCUGAGAAACUUCGACCAGCAAAGUUAACAAAUACAUGACUUUGCGGCAAACAGAUAAGUAGUAGUUCAAAAAGAUGUUCCCAAGGAAAACGAGGAAGACCGCAGAAGGGGCCGAUGGCGGAUUAGGCGAGAACUCCGACGCGCAACCACAACCAGUCUUUAGGGACCUCGGACCAAUGUGCUCACCUAUAGUAUCUUGGCGGCUCUCCCAGAGAUCUACUAGGCUUGUGCACCCGAGGUUGAAACACCGACGGAGCCACCGCCCGGCAACCCCGGACAGUUGCCCGGGCUCGCCGGACAUUUUUCUACUGAUCACCGGAUUAAUAUGAAAGCUAGAAGAUGUUAUUUCUAGGCAAAAUGCUAGUUUGUGUACGUUUUGCCCAGGCUCAGGAAGCCGGCUGGCUCCGCCGCUGGGUUGAAACCAACCAAGCUGUAGAUUUUCAUAUAAGCCUCAUCAGGCUCAAUUGCAGGUUGACCCUCUCAUGAAAUCCGAGGUUCAUCAACAAUAACGCUCUCACCCGUCAUCGGUGAAACACCUUUAAUGAAAAGGCUCUAACAUUGUCAUAUGAAGCAUAUUCAAACUCAUUACUGAUCCAAAUGCAGCAAAGAUAGAGAUCAUGCAUGGUGCCAUGUGAUGAGUUACCAACCUUGCCUCAAAUGCAACGAUCAAAGUCUCCAGACCACCUCACCUGAAUUUUUAGUCACCACCACAACGACAAGGCGAAAUUGCAUAUAAUUGACCAAAAGACUGCUAGCAACCCAAGAAUACUCCAUGAGAAAAAAAAAACACUUGCUAUAACCUGGAGUAUCAAAGUGGGCGACAUGUGCUGGACUUGAAUUCGUCGAUUGUAGCUGUGUGGGCGACGAAGGCCAAGGAGCAUUCCCAAGCCAUCUCGUCGGCCACUUCAACACCACCCAACUCACAGCAACCGGCAACAUGCCCAUCAACGAUUUUAUUGCAACAAAGAGAACCCAGUCAUAAUUUGGUUCCUUCCUGAACACAACAUGCACAUGAUGUCCUGUGCAGGGAAGCUGAGACCGAAGAAAUCCACCAUGAAACGCUUGAAACGAACAGAGGCAUCAGGUGCAGGGGGCCUUUUGGAGGAUGAACACAACAUGCACAUGAUGUCCUGUGCAGGGAAGCUGAGACCGAAGAAAUCCACCAUGAAACGCUUGAAACGAACAGAGGCAUCAGGUGCAGGGGGCCUUUUGGAGGAUGACUCCCCCAGCCGAGGAAACACCACUUCUACAAACCGUGCAUACGUGACGAGUCAUCAGUGACGGGCUUUUCGCACGCCGUCACUGAUAACACACAAUCAAUGACGGUCGCGUGCUCGUCCGUUACUGAUGACCCCUUAUCAGUGACAGACACACCACGCCUGCGCCUGUCACUAAUGACUCCUCAUCACUCACGGGCGCGCAGGGCCCGUCACUGAUGACCACUCAUCAGUCACGGGCGUGGGAGGCCCGUCAUUAAUGGUUAAAUGAAAAAUAGCAAAAUUCACACAAACACACAUUAGUGACGGUCAGUUCAUCUAGGUCCGCCACUCAUGACUCACGGAGACCUUUCAAGAUUGAAAUAAUCAUAACUAAUUCAUAAAAAAUCAAAAAAAUAUGAUUCUUUUUGCUGAAGUCUUAUUUUUUUCUUGCUUAACAUUGAUGGAAUAAUAAUAUCAUAUAUUAGCAAUUGAAAAAUAAAUUAUGUACUACAAACUUGUUAUUUUCCACAUUUGAUGUUUAUGAUUUUAUGUCAAAUGACAGAAGUUUUGUCCAUUUCUAUGCCAUAGUUCAUGAUAAUGUAUCCAUUUUUUGCAUAAAGGUGCAUCUUGUCAUGACAAACAAUAUUGCCAAAUAGUUCUACAAAGUUUUGGUUAUAAAAAAUGAUUUUCUGUUUUCCAAAUGCAAAAUGUCCAAGCCAAAUGUCCAAAGUCACGGUCAUGUUUAUACUUUGGAAGGGGUAAAUCUUUGGCAUGUCCAAAGUACAAUUAAUAUGGUUCAAAAAAUUUACACAAAAUAAUCUAUAUUUAUAACUUUAUAUACCAAUUUAGUUAUAUGAAAUACUUGGAUAUCUUAUGAAUCAUGAAAAUACAAAAACAAUCAUGUUCCACGACAUCACUGACGGGUUUUUGCAAUUGUGCCCGCCAGUGAUGCGUGUUUGGGCCCAAAAUCGUCGGCCCAACCCACCCCUCCUUAUAUAUAAACCUAACACUAACCUAUCUCCCUCUCCACUCCCACUCCCCAGCCGCCAGCCUCCUCUCUUACCCCCUCCCUUCUCUUCCUCUUCCUCUUCCUCUCUGCUUCUCUCCCUCUCCUCCCUCUCCACUCCCGACCCCGGCCGUCAGACCCUCGCGGUGCUGGCCGCUCGCCCCGGCCCCGCUCGCCCCGCCGCCGGCCUCUCACCCCGACCGACUACAGCCCCGGCCACGCUUGCCCCGCCGCCGGCCACGGUCGCUGCAGGUAGAUCUCGAGAUCCCCCUCUCUCUCCCUUAAUCUCUCUCCCUCUAUCAAUGUCUCUCCCUCUCUCUCUUGCAAAUCCAUGUCGUUGGAGGAGGGGAGAUGAGGAGGACGAGCCUAGUGGCUGGCGCGUUCCUGGCCGCAGAAAGGAGGUGGCCACCGCCGGCGACUUAGGAGGAGGCGACGAGUUGGCUGGAUCCGUAGUUUUUUACAAAUUUAUUUCGAUCGAUUUUUGUUUCAAUUUCUGUCCAGGGUUCCAUCAAAUUUGUUGUUUAAUUCUUUCUGUAGAUCGGGUUCUCGUUGAUCCAUUCCAAAAAUAUCAAAUUGUUCAAAUCUGUGGAUGUGGGAUCCGGAUCCAGUGCCCUGACAGAGCAAAGGCACGGCGUGCCCUGCCCCUACAUAUCCACCAUCCAUUUUGAUCGGACGGCGCACAACACUCACAGGCCAACAAGAGUGGGACAGGAAGGGAAACAGUCGGUUGCAGGCAGGAGCGCGGUCAUGGAGAAAGGACGCGGGCCACCGCCGCGGUCGCAGGAAUGGACGACGGCCACCGCCGCGGCAGCGAGAAAGGACUCCGGCAGGCCCCUCCGCUCCCACUCUGCAAACAGGCCAUGAGUCUCAGGCAACGAGAGUACGCAAGGGGAAAAGAGCUUUGUGCGGGCGUUCUUAGCCAAAAUUGCUGCUGCGCGGGCUCUCUCUCAGUGCCGCCGCAACUGCUCUUCAACCGCCGCCACCGGCGGGAGAGGGGCAAGCUCAGCCAGCCGCCGCCGCGGGGGAGGAACAAGCUUCGCCGGCCCCCACUCCGACGUCCUCCUCCGCCCCGCGCCGCUCCGACCGAUUCAUCCGUCUGUCGCUGACGGACCCCAUUGUCUCUCCCUGCUCUGACGACCUCCUCCGUCCUGCGCCAGCUCCUCCGCCCUGCCGUGACGGUUCCAUCUGCUCUGCUGCAACACCUCCUCGACACAGCGUCCUUGCUUCAAAAUCAGUUGUUAAAACUUACAGGAUUGUUCAGCUUUUCAGUGUAAUACAUUCCCUUCAGUACAAUACAUCUUCAAAUUGAAUGCUUGUUAACUGAAUCUCCCGUGCAAACUCAACGCACUGUCUCUCUUCUACUCUGCUAGGCCCUAUCUCUUUUGUUCUGUUGCUUGUUAAGGGCGUGUUUGGUCGCCUGCAAGGCCAUAGCUCGCACCGCAACUGGGAUACGGCAGCUGGGAUGCAAAUUAAGGCUGCAGCCCGCUGGGAGCUGCAGCUGCGACGAAGCGGAGAGGAGGUGGGGUGCUGGCCUGAUGGGAGAGGACGUUGGGAGCGGCAGUCGAGCGGCAAGAUGGGGACGGCGCGUGGCUGUCGAGCGGCGAGAUGGGAGCGGCGGGCGCCGGCAGCGAUGGGAGGUGGCGGACUCCGGCGGCGGGGGCGACAAAACGGUGGUGGCGUGGCGGAACGGCCAGCAGGCGGCGGAACGGGAGGCCAGCAGAUCGGGAUUGAGGGGGAGGGACGAGGGAUGAGAUCGACGAAGAAGAAAGACACGGGAGCCUGCAGCCGAAAAAAGGCCGAUCUGGGCGUAUCCCGCGUCCUGGCGCGCAAGGCUAUUUUUGCAGCUCGGCUGCAGGCUUCGCGCGCGGCCCAGGAGACCAAACAGGCUGAUAUUUGCAUUGUGGGUGCAGGCCAAGUGCGGGGCACCCUUCCAAACACGCCCUAACUGAAUCUCCUUCCAAUCUGAAUGGAGCCGACGGGGGUGGAGGGAGUAGCCGGUGGCCGCAGGGGAAACUUGAGGGCCGCGGUACGGGGUAGGUUUAUCCUGCCGCCUGCCGGAGUGGCUGCGCGGGCGUCGGAGUGGGAGCGGAGGGGCCUGCCGGAGUCCUUUCUGGCUGCCGCGGCGGUGGCCGUCGUCCAUUCCUGCAACCGUGGCGGUGGCCGGCGUCCUUUCUCCAUGACCGCGCUCCUGCCUGCAACCAACUGUUUCCCUUCCUGUCCCACUCUUGUUGGCCUGUGAGUGUUGUGCGCCGUCCGAUCAAAAUGGAUGGUGGAUAUGUAGGGACAGGACACGCCGUGCCUUUGCUCUGUCAGGGCACUGGAUCCGGAUCCAAGACGCACAUACCUCCCUUCCCCAACAAGGGAAGGAGAACGGAGGCAGGCGAUGCUAACGGCACGUGUCCAUGCACGGAGGUCGUGGAGUUUUCUUGAGAACGGGAGAGACGAAGCGGUAUCCUCCCAUCAAAACCAGAUUUGACCGAGCUAAACAACCAACAAAAGUUGAUCUCAUGAUUUUGGUAGUUGUAGGGUGAAGUUUACACUAAAAACCUAACGAACAAAUAAACAUAGGCUCUUGAUGUAUUCCGUACUUAAUACUCUGAGGAAAUGAGGUGAGAUUUGACCCGUGACAUUAACAACAAUCAUCUUUCACACAACACUAACAACAACCAUCUUUCAGCAAACUAGGUGUGUUGAUUGUUCCAAUAAGACGAGAUUUGGCACAUCUCCGGUCUUAUAGUAAUUCUUGAUUUCGAAUGGUUGGAAGGUCAAGCAUAUAGCACCACAUUAACGCCCAUUUCUAUUAUUUGAACCAAGUGUAUAUUGAUUCGGCUAAUACCGAUACAUAUCACACAACUACGCUCUUGAUUUACAUUUUUUUUCAAUAUUCUAGAGGAUGAAAGAGUUGCCUUGAUCAUCAACACUCAAGACCUUAGACAUGUGCAUACCAAGCAAGGGCCUUCACAGUGUGUGCCAAAUUGAGAUGCCAAAUUGGAAAUUUAGCUUUUGGCACCACUUCAUGCCACUGUGGAAGGGUUGCAAAUUAAGAAAAGAUGGAACCAGAUCACCUAAUUGCUCCCGGUGUCAAAUUCUUCCAAACAAUAUAAAACAAUAUCCAUGCAUGCAUCUCCUUCCCUGUUGGCUCAAAGUAGAUGAGUGAGGAGAGAAAGUACAUUUUAUAUAUGUGUUUUAACAUUGGUGGGUCUCAUACAUUGAAAAUUUUGGCUUUAACUACACUGUGUCUAAAUGAUACUUUUAGCAUCGCUCCUAAAUAAUAUGAGAUGACAAAUUUAGCAUUUGGGACGUUGUGGAGGCCUAAAGUCUCAAAUCUUCCGGAAAAAGUAUACUCCGUUUCCGUUUCCUAGCGUCCCUGGCAAGAGCCCAUGUCUCUAGUCCAGUGUUCAGUCAAGCAGAAUAAAUACGGCCGGAUACGAACAAAUAAAAAACUCGUAGGCACAUCAGUUUGGGUUUCCUAGCACCCCUGCCAAGAGCCCAGGACGUCUCACCAAGUGACCAAGGAAGGCGCAGCAAACAACUGUCCUGGGGUCAAAACAAAAAUGCCUGGUCAAAGGCGUCGCGUCAUGCCUCAGCCGGUCAAAGAACACGUACUCGAGUUGCGUGCGCCUACAUCACGGCCAUUUAUGGAGUUUGCUCCAAAGUCUAUCGGGAAUUUACUCAUGGAUUUGACGAAGAUGGCACAUCGUACGCAGAUACGGAACCAUCUUAUAAACACGGCUAAAACAUGAGCAGGGAUCAGGAUCGAUGACGUACUACACGUCUGAACUUAACGCAGGGAGACCAGCACGCAAUAUUUGGAAAGCGGAGAACUUCCCGGCCCGUUUAAUCCCGGACGGACGUGCAUGAUCGUUCAAUCACACAGUGUGGAUAGAUGUAUUCCUAUCAAUAUAAGCUAUAGUCGUGUGAGGAAGAAAUUCGACAUGGAGAUGGAGACGCCGCCUCCGCAGUUCGUGUGCCCCAUCUCGCUGACGCGGAUGCAGGACCCGGUCACGGCGCCGAGCGGCAUCACCUACGACCGCGGCGCCAUCGAGCGGUGGCUGGCCGCGGGGCACGACACCUGCCCCGUCACCGGCCGCGGCCCGCUCUCCCUCGCCGACCUCACCCCCAACCUCACCCUCCGCCGCCUCAUCCUCUCCUGGCCCAACCCCAACUCCAACCGCCAUCCUCCCGCGCUGACCACGCCGGAUCAGCCGGACUCGCGAAACGACGAGUGUGGUGGUCCGGCGGAGCUCGUAAAGAAGCUGAUGGUGGCCGUCCCGGCGGCGAAGGCGGACGCCAUGGCGCGGCGAAGCAUGAUCCCGCGCGUGCUCCCUCUGUUCGUGUCGUCGUGCGCCACCGAGGCCGCCGAGAAGAAGAAGAGCUUCUCGCCGAGCGGGGUCGAGGCGGCGUGCCUGGCUCUCCUCGACGCUCUCGGCGUCUCCGCCGACGAGAUCCGGCCGCAUCUCCUCCCCGCGGAACCCGGCUUCCUCGACGCGCUCACGCACGUGCUGGUCACGCUCACGCUCGAACUACAACACGAGGACUACUACUCCGAACCAACUCUCCAGCGCGCGGUGCGCCUGCUGGAGUCGGCGACGGAGGCGUCGACCCCGGCGCUCCUCGACCGUCUCCGGCCCGACCUCCUCCGCGCCCUCACAGCCGUCCUCCACGCCCGCCGCCGCGUGCCCCUUGCCACGACGCGGGCGGCGCUCAAAACGAUCCUCAACGCGUGCGCCGCAAGCAGCAGGAACCUCCGUCUCGCCGCGGAGUCCGGCGUCGCGCACGAGGCCAUCGAGCUCGAGCUCUCCCUCGGCGGCACCAGCCGCGCGACGACGGAGCUGGUGAUGGCGGUGCUGUCCUUACUGUGCAGCGGGUCCGCGGAGGCGCGGGCGACGGUGGCGGGCCACGCGGCGGGGAUCGCGGUGGUGGCGAAGAGGGUCCUUCUGCGGGGGGGCUCGUCUGCGGCCGGGGACGCCGCCGCGGUGCGCGUGCUGGCGAGCGUGUGCGGCAGGGGCGCGUCGCCGGAGACGGUGCGGGAGAUGGCGCGGGUCGGGGCCGUGGGGAAGCUCUGCUGCGUGCUCCAGGCGGAGUGCGACCAGGUCACCAAGGAGGCGGCGAGGCGCGUGCUGAGGAUGCACGCCGGGGACUGGGCCGGGUCCCCGUGCGUCAGCGCUUACCUGCUCUCUAGGUACCUCUAGCUAGUUCAGACUUAAUUUAGCCGGUCGACUCGGGCAUUGCUUGCUGCAUGGUGCAGCAUGUUCGUUAAUUGGUUGCAACAAUGUUGCAGGUUGAAUAUUCUUUAUCGGUCUCUUGAAAACAUUUUAGCUAGCCCGAUCGUGAGUUGGAUUUGUUCUUUGAUAAGUUUCGUGCAUGCUGAUUUGUACAUGCAAAUCAAGUUGGAACUAGGAAAAUAAACAUGUUUAGCCUUGAUUAUUACUGCCACUUAGAUUAUUUGCGCACUUUGAUAAGUUCCAUGCUGAUUUGUACGUGCAAACCAAGUUGGGAUUACCCCGAAAAAACAAGUUGGAAGACGGAAAAUUUAUGUCCCAAAGUAUCAUGGUUCAGAACAUACUCGAUGGCCCGAUCCCGAUCGAUCACGAAGACGGAAGGAAUACGAAUCGUUCAUGCAUGCAUGCUCCACGUGGUGUGAAGGGUACAAGUCAGCAAUGUCUGGCUGAGCUACUCCAGAUGGGUACUUCAACAUCGUGAGGUAUACUACUCCCUACGUCUAAUAAAAAAUGUGUCAAGUUUGUUAUAAUUUGGAUGUAUCUAGACAUGAUUUAGUAUGUGAAAAUAUCUAGUGAAAACCUGAAAACUAUCGUUGUGAGCCGUUGGAUACAAAAUGUAUGGCUCAGAUCUAAGGUGUGAUUGAAACCAGCCACUUAAACGUACAUUUGCGCAAAGCCCCCUGCCUUUACAGGCUUUUACGUAGAACUAGGUGAGAGUUAUCCUCAAGCCAGCCAAUUCCCCAUCCCCCAUCUGAAUCCCCUUCGGCGCAGCGACCUGGAGAAUUCAGCGAUGGCCGACGGCGACCACCUGCACAGACCUUCCCCACGCGAAGACGAUCACCUGUGGAUCCCUUCCCAUGACGGCGACCAGAGGCCUCGGCAGCGUCACGGAGGGUGAAGCUGACCUGCAGUCUGCUUGCUGUUUUCUGAAAACAUGUGUUUGCUGAACAUGUGUAUGCUGAAGCGCUAGAGCUGUUGUUUUGCUCUACAGGAAAUUUGUGCUUUGUUCUGCAAUGCAUCAAUUUUUUUGUACUGAUUUGUAAGAGGAAUUUGUAAUUGCAGAUUGGUUUAGCCAAAUCAAUGAGACUGUACAAAGAAUUCUUGAAUGAAUGUGAAUGUACAGAAAAUAUCUGUUGUUUAUCCGAAUCAAUGUGACAUAAGCUCUUGGACAUGUUGGAGCUUCCUUCCUCGCUGCAAUCAGGGAGUUUGGAAAAUCAAAUCAGAUCCAAGCAAAUAAAAAAAUAGCCAUUGCACUGAUCAAUUUGAAUCAAUGAACAAGAAGAGAAACCAACAAAGAAUCCCAAUGCUUGCUCCGUAGGAGGUCCAAUGCUCCCGCAUGUGGAAGACGCUGGAUGGCAGGGGAUGACGACGGCAGGCCGACGAGCGCUUCCGAAGGUGGCCGGCGAAGGGACAGUGCAGGUCGCGUACGAGGCCGACGGAAGGUGGAGGAUCAAGACCGGCGUCCGGCGAACGCACAGUACGCCUAAACUUGGAUGGGGGAGGGCGGGGAAUCACGAGCGUUGGAUGCACGCCUCGGACGAGAAUGAUGGGGGGCGUGGAGGAAGGCGCAACGUGGUGGGGGCUGUGUGCAGCGGAAGGCCAACGCCGGCAACCGGAGGCGCAACGUGGUGGGGGUUGUGUGCGGCGGAGGGCCAGCGCUGGCUCCAUGUCAAUCUCACGAUUGAUCGGAAUUGAGAAGACAAAUAGUUUUCCAGUGGACUAAUCGUUAACGAGUUUUUACAAAAAAGAAGGGGGGUUUGCGCAAAUGCACGUUUAAGUGGUUAGUUGCAAUCCGACCUUUGAUCUGAGCCAUACAUUCUCGAUCCAACGACUCACAUCGAUAGUUUGUAGGUUUGCACCAGAUGAAGGUUUUCACUGGAUAUUUCCCCAUUUAGUAUAUCGAUGCAAUCAAAUUUAGUCAAAAUUGAGACAUCAUUUGUUAGACGGAGGAAUAUAUGAUGAAGGAUUGCAGGGUCACCGUUCAACGUUUUAAAUUGCAUGGAAGGAUUUUGCAGAUAGGGGCAUGUGUAGGGCACGUCGGCUUCCUGGGUGCACGCUUAUUCGGUUUGGAGGAAACUAAAACAUAGGAAAAGCAAAAAAACAUAUGAUUCUGAUAGGACGCCAUUUGCCAUUCUAAUGAAUUGUCCUAGUCCAAUCAACGGUCAGCUGACUCACGAGUUCCAUGUUUACCAUGUCUCAAAACAGUCUAUUGUCUACAAGGAAAUGAGAAAAGUUAAAAAAAAACAAGUAUUCCCUCCUAUUUGAAUUAAUUAUUGCAACUUUUACUAGAUACACAUGUACCUAGACUGAAACGCAUCUGGAUAACGUAUCCAGACAGAGCUGUGUCCAUUGACUUGAAAACCUAGAAACAAAAAAAGGAAACCGAGGUAUUUCAAAAUAAACUCAAUUUUUUUUGUGGUGAAUUACAUUCCAAUUUAAGCCGUUGUUUUUGUUAACUAGCUGAAAUGCCCGUGCGUUGCAACGGAACAACAAAAUAAAAUUAGACACUCGAAGAAAAUUUCUCUUUGCUUUUCUUUGACAACCACCAAACAUCCUUUUUAAAAAGGUUUUUCGAAUAUUUUGUCUAUAUACUAUGAUCUCUUAGAAGACAACAGUAACUUACGUUCUGAAAUUUAUGUAAUCUUAUAAAAUUCUCCAUAAACUAUCUAGAAAAAAAUCAUGAAAUCCUAAACUGAGGCCCCGUUGCGUCGCUCCGCUGAUAUUUUCAGCAAUUUUUACAUGUUUGAACAGAUAGUUUUUCGCCCAUGUGUUACUAUAUCAAUAAACCACAACACAUGUUUAACAUUGCCCUAAUGGCCUCUAGAUUAUCUCCAAUCUUAACAUCUAGUAAUGAACAACCUAAUUUUUUCCCUUGAGGAGCACAUAUACAAGCAGCAGCGAUGGUUGCUAGUCAAGUCAUCAGCCAAAUGAUUCCCCCAAAAGGAAGUCUGCAUCCCAAAUUGUACGAAGGAACAAUCAUCAUAUCUUAACAAGGCUAAUAGCAGCGAGAGAAAAAAAAAUGGUACAGAGUUCUCUCCCGAGCUUUAUUGUCAUUUUUCCUGAAUUUUGUCAAAUAUCACUGAAUUCGAAAUCUGAAGAUCCCGUAGCAACAUUCCUCCACAAAUAGCAGGUACGAAUUCAAGCAUUCAACAAAAGCAGUAGGACACACAUCUUUUCCACAUCCAACACCUGGAAUCUUAAGCUCGAGAUCCUGAACCCACAACCGUCAUAUGUCCAACAGUAAACACAUCACUUAGGUUUAUCCUAAUACUCUCUCCAUCUUCCAGACCCCCACAUGACCCAACCAGACAAUCACACACUGAGCAAAUAAAUCCAGCUCCAAUUAGGCAACCAGUUCAAGUUCCAGUUCCCCAGAAAUUUCACUGUACCAAUGCUAAUCAAUCAAUGAUUAUUUCCGAGUAGUACGUAGUACUAAAAACCGAGCAAGAGCUGAACUCCGCACGGACAAAACACCCUAUUGCAUGACGCAAUCGCCAUCUGAGAAACCAAGCCAGACCUCAUGCAAGGAGCACAAAACCGCCCCCCAACCAGCUAACAGCGACAGGAAAAACGGUUGGAAUCUCUACUGGGAGGAAACAAACCAACCAACCACAAACAAACCACUGACCUGUAGACCGGAUCAGCGUCUCCCUCGGAGGCGGCGGCGGCGGCGGCCACGAAGCCGAGAAGUGGUAGAAUCGGCAACAACCCUCUCCAGCAGUGCCCAAUCCCGUCCGCCCGCGCUUCCAGAAGUAAACUCUAGCAGCACCUAUCGGAAGAGUAGGGGCAGCAGCGGGAGGAAGAGAUCCAUCCAACGCAGAGGAGAGGAGGUGCACUGCUGCGAGGGGAAACUCGAAGGCCACUGGGAUCGGAUUGAAUCGAUUGGUUGACGCGGCGAAGGAGGAAGGUUGAUUAUAGAGCAGAUUUGUUUUGUGCUCUCCGGCUCCUCCGUGUUUGGGGGCAGCAACCCCAAAGAAAGGAACAAACCUUUAUGCCCUGCGGUGGAGGAGAUUUUGUGGGCAACGGCGGCGGCGAACUCAAUUGCACGGUGGUGGUGGAGGCGAGUCGGCUCCGUGGCUGCGUGUUCCUUCGUGAAUAAGAAAGAUAGGGAGCAACGGGCACGGAGCCCCAGCGCCCCAGCCUGCUCCGUCCGCACCCCCCGGCGACCUCCUUUCUCACCCUCGCUGAUCUCUCCCCUCCCUGCUCGUUGCUACUUCUUGGCCGACGACUGCAACAAAGGGCGCCUAGAGGAUCCGUGGCGGGCCAGCCGCGUGAGAGGAGGGGGCGGAGCGUGCUGGGUUGGUUGGAGGAGGGGAGGCGUUGUGAGGGGAGACCAGCCAGGUCAUGAAUUUGGGGAAGGGUGAGGACUGAGGAGGUGGCCUCUUCUUUCCUCCUCGUGAGAAGGGAGGCAGCGGGGGGAAUUAAGGAGGCAUCGGUGCGGGACUGAGGAGGUGGCCUCUUCUUUUCUGCUCGCGAGAAGGAAGGUAGCGAGGGAAGGAGGCGUAGGUGCCGUUGGGGGCGAAGGGAGAGGUAGGUGAGGGACGGCAGCAGGAGGAGCGGAGCGCAGUGGUCGGGCGGAGUUUGAAGAACAAGAAAGCGCAUGUGACGAACGACGAAACCGCGUGGUGAAGGGAACGGUCCGUAUUUUUUAGAUAGGUAUAGAUAUAGAUUAUUUGUAACUUUUCUGUUGUUCCCUGUUUGUAGAAUAGUUCUUGUUUAUUUUUGCCUCCCGGAGACACAUCUUUUCCCCAAUAUGUUUUGGAAUAUUUUACUUGAAUGUUAACUUUCUUUGAAAAAGAUUUUUUUUUGAGAAAAAGUCUAUUAUUUUCUCAAUUUCCUUUUCCUUAGUUUUCUGACUAGGUUGCCACGUGUGUAAUACCACAUUCAUUUCCACAGAAAGGAAUGAAUUGAAUUACUAAACGUAUCAGUUACUAAAUUGAUGAUCAAGCUUAUUUUUAUUAGAUCUUAUGUAUGAGCCAAAACUGAACCAACUAUAGUUUUGUUUUAGAAUCACCUGUAAUUUUAUUCUGAUUCAACAUCCAUUACAAGUACAAUGAUUUGGAUAAAAACCCAAAAAACUACAAAGUGACUCUUAUAACUAAAAAUCACAUUAAAGUCUUUCAAAUAAAUCUUCUUCAUGGAAUCAUUGUAUCAAUUUUCGCAGCACGAAGCACUUCCAAGGCUUCGGUAAAGAUACCGCAAUCAGACUGGAGCAACGACGCCGCUACUCGAACACAACUUGACUACGUUUGUAGGUUUGAACAAACUAUAGUUCUUUAUUAACACUGGAGUCACAAGAACUUGUAUUGUGCGAGCAGUUUAGUACAAGUUGCAAAACAGGGUCAGGUGGUGCAAUAACGUGACUUGCAGGUACACGUGUUUUUGGAAUAAGCGAAACUGCUCGAGGGGGGGAGGGGGCUUGGCGUAAAAUGUUCAACUCAACCGGCAAGCCACAUGUCGCCUCCGAUCCCCAUUGGUUAUGACCAAACGUGUACCCUCAAGUCAAGUUAUUGUACUAUUUAGUCCCGUUUUGCAACUUGUUGUACUAAACUGCUCGCGCAAUACAUUUUCUUGUAACUCACGUUUUACUACCUAUUGCUCCAAAUAGGAAAAAAAAAUGAUUAGGCCAUCGGCACUGCAUAGUCUAAUCCACGGCAAAGCCAAAUGCAACCAUAAUCCAUUGAAUAAACUUUUUUUGCUAAUCUAAUCCAUUGAAUAAACUAUGCACUAUUUUUUCAGACCAAGGACAUACAACUGAUUUUCGAUUUAUAGAGUGCUUUUUUCUUUGCCAUACUGGUGACUGGCAAGGCAUGCGGGCAAGUCGAUGAUCUAUUAGAUCGAGCGUUAGUAGACUACAAUAGUUGUCGAACAUGCUUAGUGCUAGUUUAUUACUCUCUCUCUGAUUCUAAUAAAUUUGUCCAAAUAUGAAUGUAUCAAUUUUUAAAAAGUAUCUAGAUACAUGUAAUAUUUCGACAAUAAUUUAAGAUCGGAGCGAGCAGUCUGGUUCAAAUUUGACUUAACCAGUCGAGCGGUCGGCAUGCGUGUGUGAACUGAAAAAGAAAAGAGACACGCUGCAGAAUCGAAGUUGUAUAUAACUAUUGCUCAGAGGAAUUGACUCGAGACUACUGAAUGUCUGAAUCAUCAUCUUCAGUCCAAACGUUCAGACGGCCAAGACCCACGGGUAACUUGCUACAGCUGAUUAGUUAUUGGGCCUAUAAGUCGGAUAUAAAUUCCUGAAGUAUUCCGUGGACACGUUCCCUCAGAAAAACAGGACUUCAUCGGGAAAAUGAAAAGAGAAUUGACCAGAUCGUCGCCACGACGUUUUUCUUGGCAGUCUUUCAUCCGAAAUUGCAGCACCAAAAGUAGUGCAUUGUAAACCGGAUACGUUACCAUGUCACGGAUUAGCAUCAGUGCCCACGCGUGCUUUGGGUCAACAAAAUGAUAAAUUAUUUAUUUUUAUUUUUUGUGUAGGCAACUCAUGGCGCCGUCGAGAUUGGCAUGCGAGUGUGGGGCAUCAGUUAAGACGAAGUAGAAGAAAUCGUGAAAAAAAUUGGAGGAAAAAAAUAACAGGCAAUGGCAUAUUGAUUAUAAUUUUAAUGAAGUUUAACAUACGGUGACGACCAUAACAUUGCCACCAACUCCAAUUUAAUAUAUUGGUAUAGAUAAGACUUUUGGAGACAACUAGAACUAGAGACAAACUGGUAAUUAGCAUAGCAGUGGAGCAUACUGCAAGAAAAACAUCAAGUACUUAACAGAACUUGUUGGCUAAAAAAGGUUCCACUGAACUGCGACAAGUACACUAACAGGAACAUAGCACCACCUAGCCUCUACUUAACUGGAAGAACACUUCACUACCUGUGGUGAUGCAAGAACCUGAACAGGCUUCUUUCAAGCACGCACAGACGCUAGAAGAUCUACCAAAGCUCAAGGUCAGACUCCAGUUACUUCCCAACAUAGCUGCUGGUCUGCUGCCACUACGACACAUCACAUCGGAAUGAGCUCAGCGGCACCUUGGCACCAUCACUUUGCUGUUGCCUGGCCAAGACCAGAACCUAUUAUCUCCCCUCGCAUUGCAAUCACCAAGGCACCUUCACUUCGCAUCUCUUUGAUGAGUUGCUCGAGUCGUGGCGUCUGUCCAGAGAUGAAACCAAAGAGUGCUCCUGUGGGAACACCAAAGGAUGAAAUGAUCUGCCCAUUGUUUGCAGGCACUGCGGUAGGCAUGGUAGGAGUUGGUGCAGAGCGGGCUGCGCCUUCAGCAGGUCUUGGUGCGUUGGGUCGAGCAGUUGAGGGAGUCUGUUCCUUUUCUUUAACUUGCCUCUCAGCUUCUUCAGGAGCUUCAAGUCCAACGCGCAUGUUUAACCCUGUCACCUGGUGACCAUCUAUCCUCGGUGAGGCAUGCUUCUCUUCCUCCCGUGCACAAGAGCCUAUGCGAUGUUGUUCUUCAUGCAGUGUGGGUGUGGCAACCUUAGCUUCGAUGCGCUUGAAUACCGCCCAGAGGUAGUGUUUCCCUUUGAAGGCUGCAAGGGAAAAGACAACAUGGUAACACUUGCCAUGAAUGUUACAAUGAAAAGAAAACUCUUAGUUACUGCUUUAGGAGAAACUGAAUUAUCUGUAUACAAUAAUUACUAUGCCAGGUUAUAUUUGAAAAGCAAUGCCGCUAGACUGAGGUACAGAAAUCAGGCGCAUCAUCAUUUUGUUUCUAUAGAAGCAAUUCCAAGAAAGAGCAGAAUGCUUACUUUGGUGUCGUUCAGGCAGUAGAACAGAAGGAAAUAUCAGCAUCUCAGCUUCACCAACAACAGCUCGUAAGACCAUAUCAUUCUCGAUAACUUCUUGAACUAGUUGGUCCAAGUGUGCAUCUUGCCUAGGGAAACUAGCAUGUUUAGAUUCCAAACUGAGCAGACGAUAAAAUGAUGCAAAUUAAUGUCGAACAGUAAGCGAGAUACCUCAAUUCUUGGGGCAAGAAAUACAAGGCGAUGUUAUCAUCAGUGGGCCUUGAUGUCUCAAAGCUUUUUGGCCAAGCCUCCAACCGAGAAAGCUUCGUCACUUCAACCUUAGGCUGCAAUGAUCUUGAAAUUUUCCACACCUUCUCACAGUGUUUUACUGACAAAUGUGCAGCCAAAGGCACAUAUUCCUUAUUGUCUGUCUUAAAGACACCACUGUUGAAUAAACAACAAAAAGUUUAGCAUUCAGAGAGUACUGAGUAAACUUCAAAAAAUGGAAAUGAAGGCAUAUUUCUACCUCCAUAUGGGUUCAUCAAUUGGCAGGUCACUAUGCUGUUGCACCUUGAUAGAUUCGGAAACUAAUGGAUUCAAGACCUUGGUACUCUUCACUAAAGCAGUUUGUGUGAUCAAUGCACCAGUUCCACCUUCAACACCCACAAGAUUUUGAUCAUCGUCAUCGUCAUCUUCAUAUUUGUAUAUUCUCCUUCUCUUCACCAGUUUACAAUUCUCAACUUUUUCACUAUCAUGGUCCUCAUGUGGUUUGGUCCUCUUCAUCGGUGUCUCAAGCUUCUCUUCCAACAAUGGAUCAGUCCUCUUUCUCUUAAACUCGUCAUCAUUCAGCCCAUGGUCUAAUGUUGCAUUCAGCUCCAUGUUAUUGCCCAUGGAUGAUGCCUCCAUCAUCGGGUCAGCACACAAUUCCUUGCCAAUUUUAGGGAAAGAAUUACCUCCCAAGUUGCACCGGUGGUUUUGUAUGACUUGAUUUUCUUUCUGAACAUGAACGCUCGCCAUUUGCUCGGCAUUGCGUGAGUUAUGAACCAUUGAAGAGGGAUGCACUUUUUUUGAAAUAUGAGAUUCGGAAUCUGGGUCAACCUUCGACCCUAUGAAACCAAGCUUUUCCAACUUUCCUGAGGAAAAUCCACCCGGAAGCCGAGAUGUCCUAGGCUUAUCAUUAUCCCUCGGUUGAGGAACCAUGCCAUUGUUUAGCCUUAGGACAGACGAUCUAGGCACCUCGUUAUCCUUUGGCAUGGGCAUUCUUUCAGUACCCAGGCUCGAGGAAGAGGGCUUAGGAUUCUCAGUAUUCUUGGGUGAAGAAGUUUGAGCUUUGUUUAACCUCGAGGAUAACUCCGUAUUCUUUUGCAAAGAAACCAGACGAUUGUUCAACCCUCGAAAAGAGGGCUUAGGGUUUUCGAAGUUAUUCGAUGGACAGGCUCUGACAUUGUCUAAUCUAGGCUUCUCAAUGUGACUUUGUCUGGGUCUAGACUUCUUUAUAUUCUUCUGCGAACAAACCGUACCUUUGUUUGACAUCAAACCCGAGGGCAACGGUCGCCGUGCCUGCACUACUACUCUAGAGUUAUUUGGGAACGACACCCUCCUGAAGAAAUCUUUGGUUUUCUUCGUCUCGUUGACACACCUUUUCCACAUUAUAGUCUUCUCUCUGGAUGGCUUGCGCGACCUUGGACCAAAGGUACGACCAUAAUUCUGUCUUCGGUUUCCCAUCUUGGGAUACGACUCAAUUUAUUGAGACAAGUAACAAAUUACGAGUGCCAACAAACACUAUCGCAUCCAAGACGUAUCUACAUAAAACACAAGCACAAUCACUAUAAAAGAAAACAUGUUUAAUAAGUUACUAAUAUGCAACUUUGCAGUUGCACAAUGUAAUUGUUCAAUAACUUUUACCACAAAACGAAAACAAUAAACAUAGAAAUAAUUUAACAAAUAAUAGCUUUCCUAAAGCAAAAAAAUAUAGAAAUGUUUGGAAGGAGUUCCAAAAGACAAUGGAUGAUAUUGUAAAAUGAAUGUAGACAACAUCAUGCAUGGAAAAUUAUAGAACCAUAAAGUUGGUAAGAGAUACUAAAACCUUUUCACAAAGAAUAGCGCUAACACAUUUCGAGUUUUAACUUUAACCAUCAAUAAGACGAAUAAUAUGUAGAUAACGUGUCAUAAAUAUAAUAACAUUGGAAACUUUUUUCGAAUGACUUACACCGUGAUGACUAAUCGUAGUCAAAUUAAGUAUGCGACCAAGUGUGGAGAAAAUUCCACCAAUAAUUGAGUCUAACUAAUAAUGUAACCAGAUAGACCAUAGAUCUUCUACCAAUUGUUUUGAUCUAAGCAAGUUUGAUGUUAGUGCUAGAGUAUGUUGUCAAGUGAGCUUCACUACAUGCUUACAAACAUGAUUAUUUAUGGUCAAACGUCAUUUAUGCAAAAUUAGACUUCACAACUACAAUAAAUUGUCUACAAAAAAUACACACCAUAUUUCAUGUCAUAGAAAUAAAAACAUUAACAUUAUUAGAAAGGACGACUUUUUCGUACUACCGGGUGUAGUUACUCCCACGUACGUUUCACACAUAUUUGGGAGAAUAUAGCGCAAUCGGGAGAAUGUAGAAUGUGUAUAUGGGUAGUAUGCAGUAUGUAGAAUAUAAAAUAUAUUCAACUUUUUAGGUAGAAUAUGCAAUUUUUAGCAUACUCUAUUGUAUAUACAAAUAUGAAGACAUUUCUACAACAUAGUAAAAACUACGUGCCAACUUGCAAUUUUUUCAUGUAGCUCGCUUUGAAGUAUCUUAUAUAUAGUAUCUGAAUUUAUUAAAAGUGAUAAAAUAUAAUAUAUUGUAUCAUAUGGUAGAAUAUUCAACAUGGGAGUAACUACACCCGGGAGUAGAUGACUUUUUCAUACUACCGGGUGUAGUUCCCACGUACGUUUCACACAAAUUUGAGAGAAUAUAGCGCAAUCGGGAGAUUGUAAAAUGUAGUUUCUUAGUAUUGAACAUAAAUUUGUUCCCCAAUUGACCAUAUACCAUUCCAUGAAUUUCCACCAAUUUUAAUACAUCAAAUCACAAAACAUGUUUCCUUUAUAUAAAGGCACUAACCUCAAACCUCACGUAGACUGUGAUUCAAAAUGUGAUUUAAUAAGAGAAGAGCAUAAAAUUUGAAAACUAAGAACCCUCUAGAAGCCGUUCUAAUUGGUAUGAUAAGUGUGUUGUACAAAUGCAAUGAAAAUAACAUUAUAUUUGUAUAAAAAUAAUAUUUAAAACCAAAUUAUUUUGACUUGAUUUCCCCACACACUUGGUCACGCAAAGAUUUCAUCUAACACAUACAACUUGACAAAGACUAAUAGAAAAAGAACAAAGAAUAGUGGUAUGAGAGGCAUAACAUCGAGCAUGGUUGAAAAUAGGAGAUCUAGCAAAAAAACAAAUACUAGUAGGAUGAAUAACACAAUUAAAACAGAUAUAGGUUAAACCAAGUAUACUAGGCAUAACAAGCAUAUAGUUCUUGUAGAGUAAAUAAUUGUAUUUUGGUUGAGUUACUUUUGUAAGAAGGAAAAGGAUAACAACUACAUUUUCCCUCUCCUGGUCAUGGUCAACUUUAGAUCUAGCGGCGGCUAUGUAACAAUUACUUGUCUGUACCUUGGCAUUAUUCUUUUGAACAGAUGGCCCCACGAUCCAAAGUAAAGAUGCACCUCCUUGGCCCUAGGCUUUCAAACAGAUGGCUCCUCAAACCAAAAGUAGAAAAUGCACCUCUGCACUAUCUUUUAAACAGAUAGCACCACAAUGCUUAGGGAGACCGAACAAACACAGCAUAAUUUUGCUGUCAGCAUAUCCCGAGGCGGUAAGGCCUGGGACUCUGGCACCAGCAAGAAUAAGUGUGUUAGUGUCAACCAUGAGAGCACUUGGGAGGCAAGGCCAUCUGUAAAACUUGAAUCAGAAAGCCAUCUGUUCCGCCUGUCCGGUCCAAUCUAACCAGUCAAGCUACUGCCCAUCUACACCAGCUUGAAUGCUUGAUCUCAUGGCAGCAGUUGACGGUGUUCACGGGGACAUGAAAGGCAGGAGCACCCAACCUAAGGUCCGAAAUCAAUCCUUCCCGAACCCUAAACUAAAGUAGGACUAAAUCAACUACUCCUCCGAUCCAUAUUAUAUGUCCCAAAUUUGCUCAAAUAUGGAUGUAUCUACGCCUAAAAGGCGUCUAGAUAGAUGUAAUAUUUCGACAAUUAAUAUGGAUCGGAAGGAGUAACAAAUCCAGUCAACGAUGCAUUAGGCCAAUCAAAACAGAGCAUUAGCACACGCAAGAACAUCCACGGUCAAUCAUGCAUUGGACAAAUCGAAACGGAGCAUUAGCACACAAGCAAGCACAUAUAUCGGCAAAAGGAACGCGGAUGCAUGGGAUAGGAUGCAAAAGAAUAUGUAACAUAGGAGUAAAGGCGCAAACCUCUCACGGCCUGCUACUCUGCUCUGGCGAUGAACAAACCGGGACGGAGGUCUCGCGCUAGAUCGGAACGGCGGCCUACAGAUCGAGAAUUAAUCCACGUUGUGCCUCGGAAGAAACACGAACGAACUCGCCGGCUCUUGUCGUCGAGCGCGGCGCCGCUAAGGCGAACUACGAGAGCGCUGCUGGGCAAACCCCAGGAUAGAGCAGCAGAGGAGCAAGACGAUAGAUGGGCAACAGAAACGGAAGAGCUAGCUCCUCCCGCGAUGAAGCCCUGGCCGUUUUAUUUAUAGACGGUAACGCGCCAGGGUCGUGGGCGUGGCGCAUCGGGAGACCGGAGUCGUGAAGAAGAAGGAAGGAAACCGAUCGGCGGAGGAAACGGAAACCGCAAAGGAUAUAUCUCUUCGUGUCGAUCUUUUUCCGAUUCCCAGAGCGGAUUCCGGACGGAGAUCGUGCUGGCCGUUUGGUUUCGCGUUAAAUGCCUCGCGAUAUUAUUGCCGGGGGAGGGCAGCGGGUUGCACGGGGCGGGGGCGCACGACACGUUUUGUAGCUGCAUGUCUGCGGCGCCUGCGUCCGGGGUCUGCACGUCCCCCCUGCUGCAUUUGCUAUCCUCGUCUGUUACCACCAGUGUACUCCUCCCAUUUAUAUAAAUUGUCCCAAAUUUGAUCAAAUAUUAAUGUAUUUAUGUCUAUAAAUACGUCUGGAUACAUGUAAUAUUUCGAUAAUUAAUAUGCACCAGAGGGAGUAUUAGCGUAUCCGAUAAAACCAUUUUUAUGAGGCAAAUUUUAGUAAAUUAAAUAAUAAAAAAAUAUGGGUAAAAUUUCAAGUCCAAACACAACUGUGUUAAGUAGCUGCAAAAAAAAUCAGUAUGAAUAUUGGUACUUCACUACUCACUCCUUCCCAAUUUAAAUGAUGUUUUAGAUAAAUAUCGAAUACCAAGGCAGCAGCUGAAAAGAUCUCUUAAGGUCUUCUCCAACGUAGUAUUCCAACCGGUCCAAACUUCACUUUUUGAUGCAUGCCGUUGGACCAAAGCUGGUACAUACAGCAAAAAGGAUGGAUCGAUCCAUGUAUAUGGACCGAUGCAAACAACCAACUGCAGAAUAAAAAAUUCCUCCAUGGCCUUGGUUUGGGGAUGGUAGGGGAAAGUAUCACAGGAAAGAAAGGAGUAAGUUUUAGGAUAGAGUUGUUUUAUCUCUCGCGUGGGUCCUACUUCCGAGUAUGAACCGGUGCAUGUACGUUGGAGAGAUGAUCCAGUUGAAGGAUCGGUCCCGGAAGAUGUUACGUGGCACAGGAAAAAUGAAGUAUGGUCCGGCUACAUUGUGGAAGGCCAAUGAGCUGAAUGCUGCGGCAGUUAAUUUUUUCCACCACAAAUAGCUACAUGGAGCAGUGUGCCCAACGCCUUUAGUGCGCAUGCCAGCGGCUGCAAUUUAUUUUCUUUUUAAUUUAUUUUAAAUGCAUUUGGUUGAAAUUUUACUCCUUUGUAGAACAUCACACCUCCAACAUCUGGUAUUCUUGUAAGAAUGUUUUGAAAUUUUUAAGCAUGAUUUUUAUGGAGUUUGCACUGUAAGAGUGGUUUUCACCGGAUACGCCACCAUUAAAUAUAUAUCGUAUAACCUUACGUAAUUUGAUCAUAUCUAAUGUCCAACCAAGAUAUCAUGAACAUAUACUCCAGUUUAUUCGCCACCGCUUGUCAUUUGACUAAUAUCAAUACUCCAUUUUAUUAGUAUUUCACAAUGGUAUUUUUGUUGCACUAGCUAAAUGCACGUGCGUUGCUACGAAAUUAAAAAUAUAUAUUACAUGUAUCAGUUAUUUUAAAAAAAUUAUGUGAUCGUGUUUUCUAAUUUGGCGCUAAAUAAGAGUUCUCAAAAUAUUCAUUUAAGGAAUCAUUAGCCCAAAAAUAUACAUCAAACCAAUCAAAAGAUCGUGAUACAUAAAUAAAUUUACUGCAUUGAAACAAUCCAGUGACAAUCAUCUAACAAGCUACGAAGAAGUCUUGGGAGGGUGAAUUGACGACCACCAACUCAGAUCUUUAUAUGUGUAAAGAUAAAGAAGUGUGGUCCGACUUUAAGAGGUUUGUUACGCUUACAAAUGAAGCACUUCAUUCUUCAAUAUUUUUAUUUAUUCAUUGCAUUACUCGUCCCUAUAAACAAGGUGUACAUUCUUUGAAAAAUUCUAUAAACAAUGCGCAUAACGUCUCAUUAAUUGCAUUGUCCUGGGGAGUCUAAUGGAGUAGCUCAUGUUCUUCCGAGUAGAGAGGGUCCUCGUUCUUUUUUUUGGCAGCAUGAUCCACCUGAUUUUAUCGUUGAUGUAUUCACAGAUGUAACUUUUUUGAUACUCACUUCGUCAACAAAUAAGUGAACGUUUGGAUUUAAAAUUUGUCUACAAAAGAGUGUAUGUCUCUUUUUUCAAAACACUUUAGACUAAACCUGGUCAUAGUGAGAGUAACAUACAUGCCUUGGGAAGUGUUAUGUUACCGGUUGAUACUAGUACUACCUCUCUCUUCAUUUAUUGAUUGCCACAUCACCCAAAUGCAUAGAUAGCAACGCAUGAUAUUAGGUACUGUAUGUUACUCCCAGUAUGAUCAGUCUAAGAAAAAAAAUGAUUCUCUCUCGUUACAUGGAAAUCAAACCAAAUAACAUUUAUGCAUGGAUUUAUCUCAUUGGAGGUGGAGAACUAAAAAAUAGAGACGGUGUAUGGUAAAUUUCCAAUACAUUUUCUAGCUGAAUGCUUAAUUUUAUUUUAAAACCCAAACGUACGCUCUUUCGCGGACCGAGUUCCAGGCCGUUCUCCAUUUUCACCGAAUUCCACUGUACCGGGCCGAUUUCCUAUACCAGGAGUAUUUAACAUCGGGCAUGAAGCGUUGAGUUUCAUGAACGGGCUGCGGUUUCCUUCUUUGACCAAUCAAAACGCAUGCGGUUAAGAAGGGGGAAGGAAAAUGCCAGCCUAAUCAAUUUAGGAAACCUAAACAAUUGCAUCUGCAUUUAAUCCGGGCCGCAAUUAACGCUAAUCAAGGACACGUUCGGACGCAUUCCUUUGCUGGUUUUCUUCCGUUGGAAUCAAUCUCCCGCAUUGAUCGCAGCCUUCGUUAAGGUGAAAAUGAAGAACGGCCAGUCAUACCGGAACAGAGAGAGUAUGCAAUAAAAUCCAUGAUGACUUUCCCUAUAAAACGUCUCAUUAGCUUUACCCAUAAAAAAAGGAAAACAAAAAACGUCUCAUUAGGCCUACAUGCAUCCAACUAGCGGAGCCACAAGUCCACAACACUCAUAACGAAGAGAUUAAUUAGAAUCUUGCAUGCGCACUCCUGCUCGUUGGUGCCGGAAAACAAAAUCCAGGUCGGAGGGAGUAUUAAGGAUGAUUUAAUUAGUUUAAUCAUGUGCACGCAUAUCAUCAAUUCGUGCAUUCUUUCCAUCUCCGAUUUAAAAUUUGUGUAUGAAAAUAAUACCUGCUUAAAUCCUAAAUAUACAACCCGUUGGUAAAACCUUUUUUUUUUGGCGGGUUCCUUUGGUAAAACCUUAACCUUUGACCUUGAGAACACUUGCAAAGGCUCACAUCUCAAUAAGAUAAGUCCCUGCAGAAUUUCAAGGCUUUUGAAAUUUAAAUAAGCGGACGAACUAUUUACUUAAACUCAAAUCACAUGAAAUUAUUCUACUCCUUCCGUCGAACAAAAAAUGUCUUAAAUUUGUCAAAAUUUGGAUCUAUCUAGACAUGACUUAGUGUAUAAAUACAUUUAAAUUUUGUCAGAUUUGAGACAUCCUUUAUUAUACGGAGAAAGUAACAAAAUAACAUUAGACUACUGCACCACCAGGCUGCGCGGCACUUGUCACUGCACUCCAUCGGUGGUGGCGGUGCCUGCCUGUUCGGUGGCGACGAUUAGGGAUUGUAGUACCUCCCCAACAGCACGGGAUGGAUGGGAAUUUUCAACGUAACUCUGCCAACAUCCCUGUAUUUCCUGUAGGCCCUCAGGCUUAGUAGUUUGCAAAUUGAACCCAGUUUACAUGGACAAUUGCGGACAGGUCCAAUUAACAAUACUAGUAUUGACUACUCCCUCCGUACUUGUCGUGAUUCUAAUGCAAUUAAAAGUAUAUGUGUACAAAAGUAAAUAUAUUCAUGUUCAAUGCACUUGCUUUUAGCAAUUAUACUCCAGUUUAUUAGAUCCAUUCAAGUUUAACAAUAACAGUCCAGUGAUCGGUAUGCGUGUGUGAACUACGAAGAGAAAAUCCCUCGAAAAAAACUACAAAGAGAAAAGAGACGCUGCAGGAUCGAAGUUGCAUAUACUAUUGCUCAGACUCGGAGGAAUCGUCUCAAGACCACUUAAUCAUUUUCAGUCCAAACGUUCCGACAGCCAAGACCCACGGGUAAGUUGCUACAGCUGGUAAGUUCUUGGGCCUAUAAUUUGAAUCUGAUGUAUUCCCUCUCUUCCUAAUUAAUUGCUGUCGGACAUUUUGUCAAAAAAUUCUUGCUAUUUUCCGAAAUCGUCCUGCAGUCCACGAUCUAUCAAAACUUUUGCAAAAUAAUCUGUAAUUUUUCGAAAUCAACGCGCAGUUCACAUUCAAUUGAAGAUGUGUACGGCAGGUUGAUUUCGUAAAUUUAAUAGAAGUUUUCUGCAGAAUGGCCAGCACCAAUUAAUUAGAAACGGAGUAUAUUACUGCAGUAUUCCAAGGACACAAUUGGCACUACAGUGGAGGCACUUACGUACCAAUCUGACCAUGAUUCACAACUCACAAACCAACUCAACAUGAAAAGCAAAAGCGGAAUGGAUCACAGUUGAACGAAAGAACUACGCAAGAACGAGGAAAAGCAUCUGAAAACACGUCAGAGGAAUAAUUAACUGCGACAAAAACAUCAACUACUUAACGGAACAUUCAGCUAAAUGGAUGACACUAAAACUUGUUAGUUAAACCAUCAAGGUUCCACUUAACUGCGACAAAAGGAACACUAACAGGAACAUCCUACCGCUUAGCCUCUACUUGUGGCGAUGCAAGAACCUGAGCAGGUUUCAUUCAAGCACGCACGCAUAGACGCUGGAAGGUCUACCAAGGCUGAGGCAAGAGUCCAGUUACUUCCCAACAUAGCUGCUGGUAUGCUGCCACUUCAGAGAGAACAGCUCAAGGCCUGCCAUUACGACACAUCAUGUCGGAAUGAGCUAAGGGGCAACUUGGCAACCUCACUUUGCUGUUGUCUGGCCAAGACCUGAACCUAUCAUCUCCGUUCGCAUUGCAACUACCAGAGCACCUUCACUUCGCAUCUCAUUGAUGAGUUGCUCGAGUCGUGGCAUUUGUCCAGCUAUGAAACCAAACAGUGCUCCUAUCGGAGCACCAAAGCAUGGGUCGAUCUGUCCACCGGUUGCAGUCAUUGCGGCAGGCAUGGUAGGAGUUGGUGAAGGGGGGGCUGUGCCUUCAGCAAGUUCUGGUGUGUUGGGUCGAGCAGAUGAGGCAGUCUGUUCCUGCUCUGUAACUUGCGUCUCGGCUUCUUCGGGAGCUUCAAGUCCACCGCGCAUGUUUAACCCUGCCACCAGGUGACCUUCUCUUCUCAGAGAGGCAUGCUUCUCUUCCUCCCGUGCACGACGGCCUAUGCCAUGUUGUUCUUCAUGCAGUGUGGGUGUGGCAACCUUAUCUUCUCUGCGCUUGAAUACUGCCCACAGGUAUGGUUUCCCUUUGAAGGCUGCAAUGGACAAGACAACACUGUAAGUCAGUAGAUUGGGGUAAUGAAAAGAAAACACUUAGUUACUGCUUUAGGAGAAAUUGAAUUAUUUAUAAACGAUGAUUAGUAUGCCAGGCUAUAUUUGAAUAACAGCGCUGCUAGAUUCGGGUAACAGAAAUUAUGCACGUCAUCAUCUUCUGUUACAAAAAUACUUCCAAGAAAGGACAGAGUGUAUACUUUGGUGUCGCUUAGGCAGUAGAAUAGAAGGAAAUAUCAGCAUCUCUGCUUCCCCAACAACAGCUCGUAAGACCAUGUCAUUAUCCAUAACUUCCCUAACUAGAUUGUCCAAGUCUGCAUCUUGCCUGGGAACCAGCAAGAUUAGAUUCCAAACUGAUAAAAAGAUAAAAAUGAUGCAAAUUAAGGUCAAAUGGUAAGCAAGAUACCUCAUUUCAUGGGGCAAGAAAUACAACGCAAUGCUAUCAUCAGUGGGUCCUAACGCUUCGAAGCUUUUAGGCCAAGCCUCCAACCUAGAAAGCUUUGUCACUUCAACCCGCGGCUGCAAUGAUCUUGAAAUUUUCCACACCUUGUCACAGUGUUUUACUGACAAAUGUGCUGCCAAUGGCACAUACUUAUUGCCUAUCUUAAAGACACCACUGUUGAAUAAACAACAAAAAGCUUAGCAUAUAGAGAGUACCAAGUAAACUUCAAAGACUGGAAGAAAAGAAUAUUUCUACCUCCAAAUGGGUUCAUCAAUUGGGAGGUCACUAUACGGUUGCAACUUGAAAGAUUCUGAAACGAAUGUAUUUUUGACCUCGGUACUCUUCAAGACAGUAGUUUGUGUGGUCAAUGGAGCAGUUCCGCCUUCAAUACCCCCAAGAUUUUGAUCAGCAUCAUCAUCGUUGUCAUCAUCAUCAUUAGAUAUGUACCUUCUAGUUCUCUUCACCGGCUUACAAUUCUCUGCUUCUACACUAUCACGAUCUUCAUGCAGUUCGGUCCUCAUCAUCAGUGUCUCAAGCUCCUCUUCCGACAACGGUUCAAUCCUCUUUCUCCUAGACUUGAAAGAUUCUGAAACGAAUGAAUUUGAGACCUCGGUACUCUUCAAGACAGUAGUUUGUGUGGUCAAUGGAGCAGUUCCGCCUUGAACACCCACAAGAUUUUGAUCGGCAUCAUCAUCGUCAUCAUCAUCAUCAUUACAUAUGUACCUUCUAGUUCUCUUCACCUGCUUGCGAUUCUCUGCUUCUACACUAUCACGAUCUUCAUGCGGUUCGGUCCUCAUCAUCGAUGUCUCAAGCUCCUCUUCCGACAACGGUUCAAUCCUCUUUCUCCUAGACUUGAAAGAUUCUGAAACGAAUGAAUUUGAGACCUCGAUACUCUUCAAGACAAUAGUUUGUGUGGUCAAUGGAGCAGUUCCACCUUCAACACCCACAAGAUUUUGAUCAACAUCUUCAUCGUCAUCAUCAUUACAUAUGUACCUUCUAGUUCUCUUUACCGGCUUACAAUUCAACGCUUCUUCACUAUCAUGAUCUUCAUGCGGUUCAGUCCUCAUCUUCAGUGUCUCAAGCUCCUCUUCCGACAACGGUUCAGUCCUCUUUCUCUUAAACUUGUCAUCACGCUUUGAUUUUGUAUUCAACUCCAUGUUAUUGCCCAUGGAUGAUGCCUUCACCGUCUGGUGAGUUGACAAAUCUUUGCCAAUUUUAGGGAAAGAAUUAUCCCCCAAGUUGCGCCGAUGAGUUUGUAUGACUUGAUCUUCUUUCCGAGCAUGAACGCUCGGCAUUUGUCCGGCAUUGCGUGAGUUCCGAACCAUUAAAGAGGGAUGCAAUUUUUUUGGAAUAUUAGAUUUGGAAUUUGAGCCAUCCUUCGACCCUGCGCAGGCAAGCUUUUCUGACUUUCUCGAGGAAAAUCCAUCCCUAUGUUGACAUGGCCGAGACCUCUCAUUAUCCUUCGGUUGAGAAACCAUGCCAUCGUUUGGCCUUGGGAAAGAUGGCCUAGGCACCUUGGUAUUCCUUGGCGUGGGGACUCUUCCAUUGUCCAGGCUCGAGGAAGAGGGCCUAGGAUUCUCAAUACUCUUGUGUGAACAGGUCGGAGCUUUGUUUAACCUUGAGGAUAACUCCGUAUUCUUUCGCAAAGAAACUGCACGAUCGUUCGAUCCUCGAGAAGAGGCCCUACGGCUCUCAAUGUUAUUCGAUGGAGAGGCUCCAACAUUGUCUGGCUUAGAGGAAGACGAUCGAGGCUUGUCGAUGCAACUUUGUGGAGAAACCAUAACGUUGUGAAGCCUUGAGGAAGAGGGCACUGGUCGUCGUGUCUGCACUACUACCCUAGUGUUAUCUGGUAGCGAUACCCCAUAAAACUCUUGCAUUCUCUUCUUCUCUUUCAGACACUACUUCCACAAUUUAGUUUUCUUUUGUGCAUGGCUUGCGCAAGCUUGCACCAAAUGCACAACCAUAAUUCUGUCUUCGGUUUCCCAUCUUGGGAUAUGACUCUUUGAGACAGGUGACAAAUUACGAACGCCAAACACUAUCGCACCCAAGCAAUAUCUACAUAGAACACAAGCGCAAUCACUAUAAAGAAAAUUAUAUUUAAUAAGUUACUGAUAGAUGCAAUUUUAUAGGAACACCAUUUAAUCAAAGCAAUAGGUUGGAUAAAUCUAGGAAUAAUUUAAAACAAAAUAGCCUUCCUAAAGCACAAAAAUAGAAAUAUUUCAAACUUCCAAAGGGUAUGGAUGAUAUUUUGAAACGAAUGAAGUAUUACAUUUCUCCUUGACGGCCUCAUGAGAUGUUUGGUUUAAGGCUAACGAUACUAAGCAAGGCAUAGCAGGAAAAUUAGAAGUUGGUAAAAGAUACUGCCACCCUUGGUAAAAAUUUCUAGUCAUGUGCGCCCUCAUGUGAUUGAUCCUUGAGCAAACCCAACACUUUGCACAAAGAAUGACGCCCACGCAUUCUGAGGUACACCCUUUAAACGUCUAUUUGACCAAUAAUACGUACAUUAUGUGUUAUAAAUUUGAUAAGAUUGAUGACUACUCUUAGUCAGAUUGAGUCAACUAGGUACUCCCAGGUGUAGUUACUCCCACGUUGAGUAUACAACCAACGGUACUAUAUAUACUAUAUCAAUUCCAAGGUACUUCAAAGCGAACUAUGAUAUCAUAUUUACUGUAUUUUUGAAAUACCUUCAUAAUAUACAUAUGAUUUUUUUUGCACAUUGGCAUGUACUUACUGUAUUUUAGAACUACCUUCAUAUUUAUACAUCUAAUAGAGUACGUUAAAAAAGGGCAUAUUCUACAUAAUACUACCUAUAUUCUACAUACUACAUACUCCCACUUGUUUUAUAUACUACCUGAUUUGCGUGAAAGGUAUGUGGGAGUAACUACACCCGACAAUACAAAAAAAAAAUUGUCCUAUAUACACACACAUUACCAUUAUAUCAUAAAAAUGAAAAACAUUAAGAUUACUAAUAAAAUAUAUACAUGUAGAUAAAACUAUCAAAAUAUUACCACCGAACCUACAUUUGUUCCUCAAUUUGACCAUAUACCCAGAAAUUAAUCUUACCCAAUUUAAAUACUAUCUCCAUCCGCUUUUAUAAGCAUGCAAGUGUUCCAAGAUCACCCAUUUAACUAGUUAUUUUGCUAGUCAUAUAUACAUGUAUAUUCAAAAUGAACUACAGUAUAUUUUUUAUGUCAUAUAAUUUAUAUUUUACUAGUCAUUGAUCUAAAUAAGAAUUCAUGCCAAACUAUGACACAUCAAAUUAAUCUAAAUAAGAAUUCUAACAAAUUCUUCAUUAAGGGCUAUCACAAAUGGUGUUCUUUAUAAAGGUUCCAACCUCAAACCUCACAUAGUGACUUGUGUGAUUUGAUUUCAAAAUGUGAUUUAAGAGACAUCAUAAAAAACUGAAAAUUAAGAAUCCUCUAGAAACUAUUCUAAUUGGUAUUGCAUUCGAUUGAAUUGUGCAAAUGCAAAUGAAAAUAACAUUACAUCUGUAAAAAUCCAUAUUUCAAAAAGAAACAUUACUGACUCUUGAAGAUCAAAUUUUACAAUCGGUGGAGCGACGUCUUGCUUUCUUCCCACUGUUGAGGAAAUUGAACAGGUAGCUGCUCAGUUGGAUGGCGAGUACGGCAUUAAUAAGCUAAUGGGUCGAUUAAUCAAUUUACCGCAUAUUCAAUGACCCUCGGAGCAGGGAUGAAUUGGCCGGUUAACAGGGUUUCUUCCCCUCACUCUUGCUUCAGACAUGACAUAUCCUGUCCCAUCACUCUCAGAUCCAUUAGCUACUAUGUAACAUUACAGUAUCGGCCGCGAACCUUACCGACACCCACCGAUCAACAAUCCAAAAGUAUAAUAUGUACCCAUGCACUAUACUUUUGAACAGAUGGGGCCACGAUCGAAAGCAAAAGUUGCACCUUGGCACUAGCAUUUUGAAGAGAUGGCUCCCCAAAUACAGAACACGAAAUGCACCUCAACACAAUCCUUUCAACAAAGAGCGCCACAAUGCUUAGUGAGACCAAACGAACACAACACAUUUUUGUGGUCACCAUGAUUUUUGAGUCGCCAAGUUAAGUUGAGUCGUCCCCGACCCAAGUCAAACCUAGUAAUAGGGUUUUUUUUACAGAGAGCAUUACAGGAGGGGGGGCUGCAGUACAAGGAAAGCUUGAAGUAGAGGUCAGGGUGGCGAGGGACCAAAGCAGUGGUAGGCUGCAAUGCAGAGCCCUCGCGAGUGGCUUUGAGGAUGACAACAUUAGGAGUCUAUGUCGAAUAUUAGGGACUUCGUAACCGUAGGUGUUUGCAUGGCUGGCCCAUAAGGCCCGUUAAAAAACCUUAACUUUCGUUAGGCCAUCCGGACCGUCAACACCUCUAGGAGGUGCCCAGACCGUCAGGUUGGAAGUCUUGCAAGGAAAAUCCCAGAGCAGCCGCCACAGCUUUCCUCCCCUCCUCUUCUCUAUCCCCCUCACACCAAUGGCGGAGCAGAUCGAAUGUCGAUUUCUAGCCGAAGAAGAUUCCUUGCCUGCUGCCUAAACCAUCUCGCCCCAAAAUUUCCUGUCGCAAGGCUCGAGCGUUCCCCGUCGCGCGGCUAGUCGGCCAGGCAACAAGUCGUGCGACUUUGUCCGCUAGUCGAGUCGCAACAGCAAGCGGAAAUCGCUGCCCCGGCUAGGGGACUAGCCGGCCACUCAAAAACCAUGGCUGUCACAACAACUUCCCAAGGCGGCAAGGCCUGGUACUCUGGCAACAGCAAGAAGCAGUGUGUUGGCCUCAACCAUGAGAGCGCUUGGGAGGCAAGACCAUCAGUAGAACUUGAAUCAGAAAAAUCAUCUGUGUACGCCUAUCCGAUCCAAUCUCAACAGUAAACUACUGCCUACAAUAGAUCCACACCAGCUUGAUCUCUUGCGGCAGUUGAUGUCGUUCACCGGCUCAUCCCAGGCGGGAUUAACCGACGGAAAUUAAUCCUUGCCGAACUCAAAAACGAAGAGUAAAAUCAACUAGCAGAUCCAGUAAAUCAAGCACUGAACCAAUCAAAACAGAGCUUUAGCACAAGCAAGCACAUGCACAUAUCAGAGAAGGAACAGAUGCAUGCGAUAGGAGCAUAAAUCUUGCAAAGAAUAUGCAACAUAUAUAGGAGUAAAGGCGCAAACCUAACGUCCAGCUACUCUGCUCUGGAAAUGAACAAACCGGGAUGGAGGCCUCGCGCUAGAUCGGAACCGCAGCCUCACGAACAACCGAGAAUCCAGGUCGUUCCACGGAAAGACGAACGAACUCGCCGGCGCUUGUUGUCGAGCCCCACCCGCCGACGCGAACUGUUGCUGGGCAAACCCCAGGGAGAGCAGAACCCCAGGGGGAAGCUGCAGCAGAGGAGGAAGUCGAUACGUGGCAAAAGAAACCGAAGAGCACAGGUCCCCUGGCCGCUUUAUUUUGUAAGGGGGGCUCGUGGCGCAUCGGGAGACCGGAGUCAUGAAGAGGGAAUGAAGGAAACCGAUGGGCGGAGCAAACGUAAACGGCAAGGAUAUCUCUUCGUGUCGAUCAGUUUCCAUCCCAGAGCGAAUUCCGGGCGAAGAUCGUGCUGGCCGUUUGGUCGAUAUUUAUCGUCGUGGCCUACCUGCGCCUGCGCGGGGCGCACGACAUGUAUUCUAUUUGUACAUUGGGGGCUCCUGCACGCCCGUUUUUGGUUUUACUAACGUGGCUGCACUUCAAAACAAAUUUUAGCAUACAUACGGGAGUAGUCCAGAGUUUUAACGGGACGUAGUCCAGAGACGUUUGUUGAACAUGCAUUCAUAUCAUCACGUCGUGCAUUGGUUUUAACUCAAGAUGGCAAUGGGACCCGAAAUACGAAAACCCGCGGGUUUUUACUCCAUCAGUGGACGGGAUCAAGUUCAAUCCCCACGGGUUUGUUCAUGGGUCAAAAGUGAAACCCAGCGGGUUUCAUGGGUUCAAACCCGGUCCAGCACUCCAUGAAUCCGGUACCCGUGAAACCCACGAAAACUCAAUAUGACUCAUAAAAAUGACCUAAUACAGUCCAUAUUUCUACCCAAAAUGGUGUUGUUAUAUGUGUGAAAUGGUGCCCUUACAUAUGAGAACUAUAUAUGAUGUUGUCACAUGUGUGAAAUGGUGCCUAAAUUAUAUUAUUUUCUCUUAUUUCAAUGCUGAAAGGGGUUGUUUUUCAUUCAUGUUGCUGCCGCAACUUUGGCUUGAUGCUGAAAUGCUGGUGGGUUCGGGUUUCCCGACGGGGACAAAAAACCCGAUGGUGACGGACUGGGAGAAAACUGAAACCCAUGAUCGAGGACGGGACGGGUCUGGGACGAGGGUCGAGGGGACGGAUUUGGGCAGCCACUGCCCGGCGGGUUUCGUCCCGUUGCCAUCCGAAGUUUUAACUCUAAUUUGGGCUGCUCAGGGGGAAAGGUGGGUUGCUGGGCUGCUGGUUGGGGUGCCACUGGGCUGCACAGGUGGCUGGCUGGGCUGGGCUUGCUCAGGCCCAAAGGAGAGGGGGGUUUGGGACGCCUAGGGUUCGGGGAGGAGAUUGGGAACAAGUGAACAACUGAACAAGGGGGUCGGGGAACGGUAGCUCAUCCGAAUGGGAGAACAGCAGUGGCGGCGGCGGCGGCGGUUCUGCUCGCUGGCGGCGGCCGGUGCAGGGGCGUGCUACGGGACAUGGGUAAAGGGAGGCGACGGGAAAAAAUGGAGUGCUCACCGAGGGCUCGAGACUCGAGAGGGAGGCGAAGUUCGGGGACGAGGCGGAGCAGUGCGGCGGCGGCUUGGCGGUGGUCGUAGCCGGAGGCGGGGAAGAAGGAGUCGAAGCCGAGCAUGUAAGAUAAAUCCUGAGCAUCCACGUCGUGUGUUUGUUAGGCGGUGCGGUUAAGGCCUGCAUAGUCGGCCGCCGUCGUAGUAUACGUUUUGGUUUUGGCUUUGGCUUUGUUAGUCGGUUGUUAGGCUGUCAGGCGGUUCCUACUGCCUAUAAGUAUGCUGUCCUAGUCUUGUAACAAGUAACGAAAAAAUAGAAUAUCAGUUGCGUUCCUUGCUGUCCCUUUCACGAGAGAAUAGUGAGGGUGAAAGCGACGGGUUCUGGCCAUCAAUUGGUAUCAGAGCUACGGUGAGCUCUGGACGCGAUGGCCGGUAGUCAUGAUCGUUCACGCGAGCGAUCAGCUGCUGGCUCAAGAUCCGCGUCGCAACGGCCGAGAGGCCGGAGCCCUGGAGCGAGGCGCAACGACGGUCGCCAAAUCAUCGUCCAGGAGCGGGUGGUCAGCGGCGUCGGGGGAGGCACGAUCGUCUACCCUGAGCUGACCUCGACGAAUUAUGUGGAGUGGGCGCAGGUUAUGAAAGUUAACUUGCGUGCACAACGCUUGUGGAGCGCCAUCGACGUCGACGACGACGACGAAGUCCCAGAGGACACCGACAUGGGGGCCCUGGCAGCUCUCAUCCGGGCUGUCCCACCGGAGAUGAAGGGCAUCAUAGCCUCCAAGGACACCGCCAAGGAGGGGUGGGAUGCCAUAAAGAUGAUGCGGCUCGGCGUGGAGCGCGUGCGGGAGGCAGCGGCGGAACGGCUCCGACGUCAACUCGAACGAUUCGCCUUCAACGAUGGCGAGUCCCUUGACUCCUUCGGCAUGCGGCUGAGCAACCACGUCAACCACAUGGCCACACUCGGAGAACCAGUCGCGACGGUGAUGGUGGUAAGAAAAUUCCUCAGCUGCGUUCCUGAAAAAUACAUGCAAAUUGCCAUAUCGAUCGAGACGCUUCUCGACUUAAAGACGUUGUCGCUUGAAGAACUGAUCGGGCGGCUACGGGCAACUGAGGAUCGGUACGCCCUCGGCGGCAGCACGUCUAGUGCCGCCGGAGGACAACUCUUGCUCACCGAGGAGGAGUGGGAGACGCGCCGCAAGCAGCGGCAAACGGGCCGAGGGAGUGGCCACGGCCAGAGCAUGGGCGGCAUGGGCCACGCCCAGAACGCGAGCGGAAACGGGAGGGGCAAGGCGCCGAAGCAAGGCACGCCCGCGACGCCAGCGGGAACAUCGACAUGUCUAAGGUAAAAUGCUAUAAUUGUAACAAAAUGGGGCAUUUUUCUAAGCACUGCAAGGAGCCGCGGAAGGAGCGUAAAGGGCAGCAGCAGCAGGUGAACCUGGCAAAGGCCAACGGCGACGAACCUACGCUGAUGCUGGCGCGGGCGUGCACCAGCGACGAUGAACCCACCCUGCUCAUGGCGCGUGUCGACGCGCCACCGCAGGACACGACGGGUGCCGACGAGUUCGUGCAUCUUGUCGAGGAACGCGUGCACCUCACGAGGGAGGGACACGACAACGACUGGUUCCUCGACACCGGCGCAAGCAACCACAUGACCGGGCACAAGGAGGUGUUCGCGGAGUUGAACGCCGGCGUGGGCGGCACCGUCAAGUUCGGUGACGGGUCCCUCGUGCAGAUCGAAGGGCGCGGCACCGUCAUCUUCGCCUGCAAGAACGGCGAACAUCGCGCCAUGACGUACGUCUACUACAUUCCUAGGCUCAAGAGUAACAUCGUGAGCUUGGGGCAACUCGACGAGAAUGGGUGUUCGACACUCAUUGAGGAUGGCUUCCUCCAGCUGCGCGACCGCAAGCGUCGGCUGCUGGCGAGGGUGAGGCGCGGACGCAACCGCCUCUACGUGGUGACGCUCGACAUCGCACAGCCCGUGUGUCUCGCUGCACGCCGCGGCGACGACGCGUGGUGUUGGCAUGCGCGCUAUGGGCAUCUCAACUUCGAGUCGCUGCGCAAGCUGGCGAGCCACGGCAUGGUACGUGGCAUGCCGCAGAUCGAACACGUGAACCAGAUCUGUGAUAGCUGCUUGGCAGGGAAGCAGCGACGUACCCCUUUUCCGCAGGUUGCCAAGUACCGUGCACAGAAGCUACUCGAACUCGUGCAUGGCGACAUCUGCGGCGCCAUCAAGCCGGCGACGCCCGCCGGCAACAGCUACUUCCUGCUACUCGUCGACGACUACAGCAGAUACAUGUGGUUGACGCUGCUGAAACACAAGGACGAGGCAGCUCAGGCGAUUCAGCGAUUCAAGGCGCGCACCGAGAUCGAGUCCGGGAAUAAGCUUGGCAUGCUCCGGACCGAUCGCGGUGGCGAGUUCACGGCACACACGUUCGCGGCGUACUGCGCCGAUCAGGGAGUGGCACGGCAGCUGACGGCGCCGUACUCUCCCCAGCAGAAUGGCGUCGUGGAGCGUCGAAACCAGUCCGUGGUGUCCACGGCGCGCAGCCUGCUGAAGGCCAAGGGCAUGCCGGGGCGGUUCUGGGGAGAGGCAGUGACCACCACGGUCUACCUCCUCAAUCGCUCACCAACGAAGAGCCUCGACGACAAGACGCCGUUUGAGGUAUGGCAUGGGUUUACUCCUAAUGUGCAGUACCUAUGUACUUUUGGUUGUGUUGCCCAUGUCAAACCGACGAAGCCGCACCAAAGCAAGCUUGAAGAUCGCAGCAAACCGAUGGUCUUCAUCGGCUACGAGCAAGGAUCGGCGGCCUACCGAUGCUACGAUCCGGUGCGCGAUCGGGUGCACGUCACCCGUGACGUCGUGUUCGACGAAGGAGCACGAUGGGACUGGGAGCAUGGCAAGAACGACCAUACCCCCGGCUGGUUCACAGUGGAGUUUAACUCCAUGCUCCUACCAGGCUCUGCCGUGACAGCAUCCACAGCCGAAACAGCUGCCGCGACGGAGUCUCCAGCUCCUGCUAUGCCUACUGCGGCAGGAUUUCCUGCCAAUUCUGCUGCCGCGACAGGACCGGCUGCCUCACCUGCCUCGACAGCAACAAAACAAGCUGAUUCGACUAUCGCGACAGAGGUCGAGCACCCGAUGGUAACACGGGCGAGGGCUGGUAUCUUCCAGCCCAACCGGAGUCUGGCUGACUACGUGGUCAGUCACGACGACGAUGAUGACGACGUGCUGCAGCUAGCGGACGUCGACGAGCCUCGCACGUACAACGAGGCCUCGGACGAUGUGAAUUGGAAGAAGGCGAUGGAGGACGAGAUCGACUCCAUCAACGAUAACCACACUUGGCACCUUGUUGAUUUGCCUGCAGGACAACGACCAAUAGGCCUCAAGUGGGUGUUCAAGCUGAAGCGCGACGCGUCGGGCAACGUAUUCAAGCACGCAAAGGGCUCCGUCCAGCGGCACGGAGUGGACUUCGAUGAAGUGUUCGCCCCUGUCGCACGCCUGGAGUCAGUGCGGCUACUCCUGGCACUGGCGGCGCAUGAAGCUUGGUCCGUGCAUCACAUGGACGUCAAAAGCGCCUUCCUUAACGGUGAGCUGCAGGAGGAGGUGUACGUGAGCCAACCUCUCGGCUUCGUCGCUCGUGGCGAGGAGCACAAGGCGCUGCGCCUCGACAAGGCACUCUAUGGCCUGCGGCAAGCACCGCGGGCGUGGUACGCCAAGCUCGACAGCUCUCUGCUGUCACUUGGCUUCAGUCGCAGCACGGCGGAACACGCCGUGUACGCACGCGGCAACAAAAAGGGGCGCCUGCUGGUCGGUGUAUACGUCGACGAUCUGAUAAUCACCGGCAGCGACGAGCAUGAGAUCGAGCUGUUCAAGGAACAAAUGAAGGAGAAGUUUUGCAUGAGUGAUCUUGGAUUACUCAGCUUCUACCUGGGAGUUGAAGUGAAACAAAGCGCCGAUGGCAUCACUUUGUGCCAGUCGGCGUACGCGGCCAAGAUCCUGGAUCAGGCCGGCAUGACGGGAUGCAAUCCCUGCACUUUGCCAAUGGAGCCACGUUUUAAGCUGAGCAAGACCAGCACAGCUCCACCAACUGACGCCACAGCCUACCGGAGCAUUGUGGGCAGCCUCCGGUACUUGGUACACACUCGGCCAGACAUCUCCUACUCAGUGGGGUACGUGAGCCGCUUCAUGGAGGCUCCGACGACUGAACAUUUGGCCGCUGUGAAGCACAUCCUCCGCUACAUAGCUGGUAUGCUGCACUAUGGCUGCAUGUACAAGAGGAGAACGAAUGAGGCAGCUGUUCUGAAUGGUUUCAGUGACAGUGACAUGGCGGGCGACGUCGACACCCGCAAGAGCACCACCGGCGUCCUGUUCUUCUUCGGCGAAAGCUUGAUCAGCUGGCAGUCGCAGAAACAAAAGGUGGUGGCCCUGUCCUCAUGUGAAGCAGAAUACAUUGCUGCGACGACAGCAGCUUGCCAGGGCAUUUGGCUCGCCCGUCUGCGCAGUGAUUUAACAAACGAGCAGCCGGGGAGUGUUCUGCUAAAAGUGGACAACAAGUCGGCGAUUUCUCUCAGCAAGAACCCCGUUUUCCAUGACCGCAGUAAGCACAUUGAUACAAGGUAUCAUUUCAUCCGUGAGUGUUUGGAAGACGGGAGGGUUGAAGUCCAGUUCAUCGGCACUGACGGCCAGCUCGCAGACAUACUGACGAAGGCACUUAGCCGUGCUCGUUUUCAGGAGCUUCGAGUUCGAAUCGGUGUCAAAGAAAUCAAGUAAGUGCUCAGGUUUAGGGAGUGAUUUGUAAGAUAAAUCCUGAGCAUCCACGUCGUGUGUUUGUUAGGCGGUGCGGUUAAGGCCUGCAUAGUCAGCCGCCGUCGUAGUAUACGUUUUGGUUUUGGCUUUGGCUUUGUUAGUCGGUUGUUAGGCUGUCAGGCGGUUUCUACUGCCUAUAAGUAUGCUGUCCUAGUCUUGUAACAAGUAACGAAAAAAUAGAAUAUCAGUUGGGUUCCUUGCUGUCCCUUUCACGAGAGAAUAGUGAGGGUGAAAGCGACGGGUUCUGGCCAUCAGAGCAAGCAGAGCGCGAAUCGGCCCCCAGAGAUGUCCGCCGGACGCGCACUGGCGUGAUGGCGUCUCGCCUCUCGGACUCAACGGUGGCUCUGGAAGACUGGAACACCAGGAACGCGAGCGGGAAUGGCGGUGGUUCGGUGGCCACGCGGUCACUGGAGACGACGAAGAGAGGAGAUGUCCGGUGGAGUUGCGGGAGCCCGAAGAAACUAACGGGAGUGGUGGCUGUGGAUAGGGUGGAGCCCCGGCGGAACUCGAAGCUUUUCCUGUGAGGUUUUCUUGCCGUUGUUGAGGGAGAGAUGCAGCGGGAGUACUAACAGGCGAGGGCUUGGUGUGUGCAGGAGAAGGCGAGAAUUGGCUUUCGGUGUGAAUGGGAGGCGGCAAAGUCCUCGGCGUCAGGCGAGCGCAGGCGCACAGUGCAGCGGCAGGGAGCAGGGUGUGGUGCAGUGCGGGGGGCCCAGAUGUCUCCAAACGGUGACCAUCAUCUAUGUUAUUGCAAAAUAGAAAUUUCAGGACUGGUAAAAAAAAGGAAAUUUCAGGCUGCUUAACAUCCACCCCCAAAAUGCUUUAUAACUCACUUCUAUAUUUUUCCAAUUGUCUAACCCAUCCAUUGCGCAAAGUCCCAUCAUAAAAAAAAUUCCUUAAGAAGCACCCCCAUAAUGCUUAUGACUCGUCUCUAUCUUUUCUCAGAUUUCUUACGACUCAGUAUUUGCACACAUUGAAUACGCCUUAAGCCAAUAAGGAACUGACCAGCGGGCCCCGCAACUCAAAGAGAGAAAGGGCAGUCCAAAUGCACAAGUCAAGACGGUUCCCACGGCCAGCACGUGUCAGAAGAGGUUUGACAAGCAGUGGGCGUCCGUCCAGUCAAAAGCCAACAUGCAGCGGCUCCAAAUAAUUUUGAGAAAAGUCUACGAGGAAAGACUUAGAUUUUGAGGCCUAAGGCCCUCUGCAUAAUGUCAAAAGGCCAAAUUUGCAAAGUAGUUUCAAUUUAGCGUUGGUGCUAAAUUUUAGUUUUGUUGCAAUGUAUAUGAUGCCAAAUUUACACGUAGACGAAACCCACGGAAGAAUAAGUUACCCUAAAUAAUUUCACCCCAUCUAUUUUCCUUAUCACUUCCUCUUCCCCAACUGCACCUUCCAUUCAAAUCCUCCACCUAGCACCGUCUCCCCCUGCGCCAGGCACCACCAUCAUCCACAGCCAGGGCCGCCUCCGCCUCGCUAUGCCCCGCGUCUCACAUCGUCGGGCAGUUUAUGUUGGCACGAGACGUGAGAGGGCAAUACCAAUUUGUUUAUUCUCUAGCAAAAUUUAGCACCGGAGCAACGGAUGUGCCAAAUGCCAAAUUUGGCACUGCUAUUUGGCAUACACUGUGGAGACCCUAACAUGGUCCGAAAAUUAUAAAAUUUGACAGGCGUGCUUGAAGUAGUUUUAUCUAUCUACUUCAAAUGUUUCAGCCGUUUCAACCAAAAAAUUUAAUUUUAAUUGAUUUUAAAUACUUCUUCAAAUUCAUAUAGACUUAAAAUAAAUCCAAUAACUUUGUUCGUAAUUUUGAUAAAGUUCCCACAAGAUCGUAUUUGGAUUUGCCAAAAUGUUUUGUUCCCAAAUACAUAUUCUCAUGGGUUCGAAAAUAGUUCUAUUGUAUUCAGAUAUUUUCAAAUGUGGUUCAAGUUAGAGUAAUUUGUUGGGCCACUAAUUAAAUUCCAUAGAUCUUGGGACUCAUUUUAUAAUUAUAGGGGCUUGUGCAAAUGUUCUCAAGGUCAAAGGUUGAUGUUUUGAUAUCGUCGUAUCCGGGCAGCGGCACCUCAGAUCUCGUGGAGGGAGGCGGCGUGGGCAAUGUAACACAGUGGACGUCGUAGGAUGGAGGCGGUGGCGAUAAGGGUUGUAAACGGUGCUCGUUUAUCGCCAGAGAGAGAGAGAGGGGGGGGGGGGUUUUAUAAAUAUAGGUUGGUGGUGAGGAACCAGUAGAAUAGGAGGCUGUAAAUGCAAAACUACAAAUCCACCAAUCCUGAAGCGUUAGGGCAACUACAAAAUAACCAAUACAAAAAGUGUCCGUUUUGGUCUGUUUGGGUCACGACUCGAACAAAGCAAAAGAUUUUUUCCUGCAUUUGUUUGGGUCCGCUGGUGCCCCCGACGCGAUCACCUAUUUGGUCCAUUUUAUUGGUCAUAAACAUGCAUGCCGUAGGACAAAGGAACAUGAGGACAAAAGAGCAAAAGAAGAACAAACGCACACCAAAGAUGAUGUCCAUCCAGACCAAAACAUGGACCAAUUUGGGUUGGACACAGGUGGGCGGCCUGAAUGGAAAUGGGUCUUCCCACUGGAGAUGCUCUUAACAGGCCAUUUCAUUAUGGGAGACGUUCUCGGAGAGCCUCCAGCAGAUCGCUAAAAUGUGGCCUCGUGUAACUGGGCAAACCGUAAGACAAUGAGCUCGCCUAAUCUUUGUAAUACAACAUGUAUAUGUUUUUCAGUGAUAAAAACACAAGAUAACAUUAAAAGGGAUCCGCAAUCCAAUGUCACAAUUGAUCUACCUGUCAAGAAUCAACAACAGAAACUUCACAUCUAUUCUUACAACGCCAUUUUAUCAAAAAGGGCCUUACUCAUGAAGGGAAGUUGGGAGAGUUCAUUGCAGCUCUGGAGGACACUAGUUCAAGAUCCAUUUUCAGCUCUAAGGAUGCGGCUUCCCUGCGAUCUUCCUCUUCUCUUUCUUCUCUUUGAUCUUUUGUACAAAAAAACCUUUUUACUUAACACAAACCCACUGUACCGGUAGUAUGCCACUGGCAAGUGGAUCUCCUAAAUGCCGUACAAUUGUGAGAGGUAGCGACACAGUUAACUGCCUCCCUUCUGCUUGAGGGUAAUCUUGUCUCCCAAACUGAGCGCAAUUCCUUGGGUCUUGCUCCUUAUUCUGAUGUAACCACUGAGCUUGCCAUCAGCUUGCUUUUCGAUGCUUAUAUUCACCAAAGCAUCUUCACCAAACACACUCUUCGCGUAAAGGUUAGCAGCGAGAAAACCACACUCCCCAUCAAGCGCAGACCUGAUGUCAGGUUAUCAAUCACAGUUCAUCAGUAAUCAGAUAAGCAACGGAAGGUAUGGAGUAAGAUAGCAGUCCUUGGCAAUGGCAAUAUCCUAACCAGCUAACCCUCGAGAACUAACCAACUACUCAUCUCAUCAAAAGCAGGUAUUCAAAUGCAAGAUUUUUUUGUUCUGUUUCACUAACCAAAUUAAUCAUCAUUUAGAUUAGCUGUGUAUAAAACAACAAAAAUUGGUGUUCUAUUUGUAUCUCAUGCAUGAACAAUCUUGGUGCCGCAAAAGGCAGAAGUUAUAUAUUCUUGUAAUUUGUGCAGUUUUACUUGGUUCUUAAUCAUAUCAAAGAAGCUCAUAAUUCAUAGUAACCUGCCUAAACUAGAAGCCUUAGCCAUGAGCAUUGCGAAAAAUAGAGAAGUUAGGCUUAGCCUAAGUAAAUUAGCCUUCAAACUGGAAAAGGCGGACUGUUAACUGAAGCCUAAACCUCACCUGUUAACCAAAUAAGCAUUACUGUAAUUGAUAUAGAGUAAAUUAUUAGCAUUCCAUUCAUGAUUAUGCAUGUAGUGGCGGUCUGUAAAUGUCUACAUGCCUAAAAUAGGUACACAAAUACAAAAUAAAUAACUUAUGCAACUAUAUAAUAUCAAAGCAAGCACAAUUCUUGUCUGAAGAUGUAAGAGGUCAACUGUGACAAAAACUUACGGAGGUGUUAGACACUUCAUGUUUGUCGACUUGAUAACAUGAUUCAAGAAUUCCUUCUCAUCUUGAAUCACCGUAUUGACUGCAACCUGAUGAACAAGAAAAAAGCAAUAGUUGCAGUCAGAACCUGAAAUAAGGAACAAAAAUAUUCAUAACACAAUAAAAGGAGCAUGACAUGACAAUUUCAAUGCAUUCCGUAUCAACCCGGUGCAAUGACAAAAGUAACUCUAAGAAGACAGCUUUCAAAGCAAAAAAUGACAAAUAGUCAAUCAAACUGAAAAUUAAGAAGUUUGAUUGAAGGAAAUGGUCCAAAAAGAGUAAUUAUUAAAAAUAACAGCUUCAGCUACAGAGAUCAGAAGCUGAAAGGCUACAAUAUUUCAGCAAAUAACCAAGAGACUAUUUUUUCCACCGUACGUUGACUAGGGAAUAUAAAUACAUGAUACAGUACAAAGCAGGAUAAUGACAAAUCAAUAAUAAUAAUACUCCCUCCGAUCCAUAAAAAGUUUCGCACAUUUUGUACUAAGUUAGUACAAAUUUUGUACUAAGUGGGCGACACUUUUUAUAGAUAGGAGGUAGUAGUGUAGUAGAGCAAACUCAACAAUGCUGUUGAUGCAGAUCAGUUACAAUGUUAAAUAUAAACGAUUUUUACAGAUAAAUUGGCUACAUGGAAAUAAAACAUAAGGUUAAGCAAUGUAUGCGAUCAAGUGGAGGCAAAAUACUACUCCCUCCAAUCGAUAUUUCUUGUUGCGGCUUUGUCUAGAUAUGCAUGUAAGAAUUAGGAGCAACAUAGACUAUAAACUUGGAAUGGGGAAAAUCCUGCGAAAGACGUUGCAGUGACUGCAUUGUACAAAGAAGCAUGCAUAUUACCUUGUUUUCCCACUCAAAUUCAGCCCACAUGUUACGGAAAGUAACAUCUGCACAUGUAGCAGGUGAGAUGUAAUCCAUGAUGUCAAUGUGAAUAUCAUUUAGGACAACCACUGAUCGCUCCAUCACAUUAGAAGUCUCGUAAACUAUGUUACCAAAUAUGACUCCAGUCUCUGUUGAAGAAACCUUUAUAUUAGCACGUAUUUGCUUGCUCGAUUCAGGAGCCAAAGUGUAGUUCUGAGGGCGAUCAACAAGUUUGAGAUCUCCCAUUGUAGCCAAUUCCAAGCACAGGUUCUGAAGUGUCUCCUUUGUACGGUUAAUGACAGUAACAUCAAGUACAAUAUCAUAAUGAUGAACUGUCACAAAUGCUUCAGCAUAUACAGGAUCACUGAACCCAGUCAACUGAAGAAUGCGAUUGAGUCUGUUUGCAUCAUCUGUUUCCUUAGUAAAUCCACCAGUUGCAGCCUUCAAAUCAUCCUGGACCUCAUCUUCCAACUCAAGCUGGGUCAUGCCCUAGAAAAAAAUGCCACAUUUUAUCAACAGGAGAAACAGGUAUAAAAUAGUAUGUUGGUAAGCUCUGGAAAUUAAAAGGUCACCAUCCAAGACAAUAAAUAGUAAUGCUUAAGAUAUUCUCUACUGAAGCAUUGCCAUAUUAACAGUUUAACACUAAUAGUAAACCUUCGCCUCGAAGCAACAAUAUGGUUCAUGUCUAUUGAUCUUAACAUGCUCCUAAUGAUGUUGAAGAAACUGCCAGCUUUUCCUCUACCAAAAGAAGAUAAAGUUUCCAGCUAAGGGUAGUAAUGUACUACCUUAGCAGCCCUCUUGAAAGAUCAAGAUAAUUUUGACACGUGUACUAGUAUUUCAAAUCCAACAAAUAGACCUAAACCUUUCAAGUUGAAACAAGGCUGGUUACAGCUGACCAAUAGCACAGUGUUUGAACAUAGAUAGGCAAGUACCAUCCACUAUAUUGUGUUGCACACAGAGAAGCAUGAACACCUGUUCAAUGUUGCAUUAUAGGACAUACACUGAUGCUAGUGGAAAACAAAGAACUGGUUACCCAACGCUGACUUCAUGGCAGGAAAAAACAGAACAGUUCUCGUUUGAAACAAAGUAUUCUUAGAGGUUAGGAGAGAAAGCAAAAAUGUUUUAGUUUGUUGCAAGAUCAUUUUAAGGAUCACACAAUGUCAACGUGAGUUGCUUUAUAGUUGAAUAACAAAAAUGACAUUUCAAAAAUGUUUCUUAGAGCAGUUCAAAAAUCAUUAAGCCUGGAGAAAAGACCAACUCAAUACAACAUACUCCCUCCAUUCAAUAAUUUUGAACUUAAACGAACGACAAGAAUCAUGGAACGGAGGUAGUAAUGUGCAAUAACUUCCGCAACGGCAUUAGAUUAAUAAUUCCAAGCACCUAGUCAUGCAUUUAUUGCUCGCUUUAUUAGAAUGCUUGUGGUGUGGUCUAGGCGCUAACAAGCAUUGGCGGAAGAAAAGGUUGCAAUUUCCAUAGUGCAAAAGCAUAAUUGAUAGGUAGUUUUCUCUUACUCUUCUGCUCUUCAGGUGGUAGAAAUCAAUAAGAUCAUCUGGCUGGGCAUGAGAGAUCUGUGCCUUGGCCUUCAUCUCCUCUGUCUCCCUGAAUUGCUUCUCAGCAAGCAUCUUGGCAAAACUCUGUCUACAUGACUGCAGCCAAAUCUUUCUCACAUCAUCACCAGUAUUGCAAAGCAACCUCACGCAAAGCACAAUCCUGUCAUAUGAAUCAUUAUCAAUUGGCUGGGGAAGGUAGGAGGAAAGCCCGAGCUGCAGAAUGGACGUCAUGACCAACAAGGCCCCAGUACAAGCUUUGUUUGCUUCAACCUUUGAUGGUUGCACCUCCUCUAGCCUCAGUAUAAGUUUGGUAAGUGUACAGGCAACAACUGCAGCCAAGAAGAAAUCGCCGGAAAGAAUGAGUGAUCGGAGAUUCAGGGUUGAUGCUAAUGAUCCAGGAGUGACUGAUGGAGUCGAAAUGGCUUCAGUAGCAGCACUCUGUGUGGCAUAAGUGCCGUCUGCAAGAACAACCGGCCGUCUCGAAGAUACAGUGACAGAGUUCACCAUCGGCUGGGUUGGCUUGGUGGAAUCAGUUGUCUCCCCUUCCUCCGAGACAGUGAAGAAUGGUAGAUCCCCAAGGCACUGCUUGAUGGUGGCAAUGGCACUCUCAACCUCUGAUAACGAUAGGGAGUACUCUCCAAGAAUCCAGAGAGCAAUUGAGCAGACACGGGAUGCUCGGAUCUGAUAGAAGGUAUCGAUCAGCCUCUGGAUCAUGGACACACGCAGCUUGGGAUUGGUCUCAAUGAUCUCACGCACAAACAACACAACAUCAACUGCUGCUGCCACAUUAGUGUCACCAAGAAAGUCCAUAAGGAGGUGCACCACUGAUCCAGCAACCUCUGGGAACUCCACCGCACAUGCAUGGAUGGCCUGCACCAGCAUCUGCCGGUACUCGCCACCCUUCUCAAGCUCCCCCGAUUGCGUCUUGACCACCUCCUUCUUGAGGUAAAGCACCACCUCCUCGACAUUACGGGGAGUGAGCAGAUCCAGCACCAAAUCCAGUACCUUCCUCUUGACAUCUAAGUUCGGGCUGGCAAGUGCACGCAGCACAUCCAUUACUACAUCCACCAUCACAUCCCGGUGCGAUGUGCGCAGCUCAUUCAGGCGGUCCAGGAGAAUGAGCCUCACAUUGUUGUCACUCUGCGAUGAGAGCAGCUGGCAGUAUGUGUUGGCAGCAGCCCGCACCGCAGUGGGUGCUGAGGAAAGCGACACGAGAGCACCUGCGCACUCAUACACAACCGCUGUGCUUGGAGAGGAAAGGAGGGAGAUGAUGAUCUUGAUAUACCUGCCCUUGUCGGCACGGUUUGGAGAGCGGCAGACCUUUCUGAUGAGGUCGACCGCGGCCAUCUGCAGGAGAUCGGGCCACUCGGUGACACGUUCAGCGUUGGAGAAGAGGUAUGCCACGGCACGUUCCUGCCCACAGAGGCAGAGCAUGAGGAACGCGUUCCGCCGGGCAGAAGCGUCCUGCUCCGACGCGAGCGCGCGCUCAACGAGCUCAGGGGCAUCGGGGAUGAGCUGGUCGCCGUGCGGGAGGCGGUAGAUCGCCGAGAUCGCGGAGAGCGCAUGGCGGCGGAUGAAGUGGUGGCGGUGCUCGAGAUUCUCGAGGAUGGAAGGGACGAGCGGCUCGAGCACCUCCGGCUCGGAGAGGCGGCAGAGGAACCGCAGCGUGACGCCGCGGAUGUACUCGUUGGGGUGCUGCAGGUUGUUGCGGAGGUUCUGGCAGAUGAGGAUCAUCUCAGGGAGGACGCGGCCGGCUGCGUCGCGCUUGUCAAUGAUCUCGAGGUAGAGGAGGAGCAGCUUCUGGAUGGUGUGGUCCUCGGAGGGGAGGACGUAGCGGACGACGGUGAUGAAGAGCUGCGGCAGGGUCUCGCCAUUGAGG
RNAcentral lists this long non-coding RNA (47822 nucleotides) under Brachypodium distachyon (stiff brome). Its description in RNAcentral is "long non-coding RNA (BDIS_LNC001709)". Lineage: Eukaryota; Viridiplantae; Streptophyta; Magnoliopsida; Poales; Poaceae. The record is from RNAcentral.